AGUUACUCUUUUUCUUUAGCCUUCUUGUACUUAAAACUCUUUGAGAUUUGCUAGAAAGAAAAUCUCCACCUUCUGCUUCUCCUUUUUCUAAAUAGAUUUAUUGCCAUUAUGAAAUUCUAAAUGACCCUCCCCCCUCCCCCCCAAACUUGCCCCAUAGUUUUCACCUCAUUCACAAUGAAAAGUUGUCCAAAAUUUUGUGAUGCUCUCAUGACUUUAUCAAUAUCAACAUUUAGCAUUUGCCUCAAGUUUACACCCAUUUUUAGCGGUUCUUAUGGCUCCCUAAGGGUUUAAAGAUUGGUUGGUAUUUCGACUUUGCUUUCCGUUUGUUCAUCUUAUUCUUCUUUUUAAUUAUAUUUCUUUUUCUUCUUUAUUUUUGUAUAUUUCAUGUUUUUGUUUUCUUUUCAAAGCUUUCAGCAAUAUAUUUUGCUAUUAUCACUACAGGAUUAAAAAGCUUGGCCACCCAACAUUAAUCUUUUCAACGGUUUAAUUUACAAUGAUCUGUUAAUAUUUAUCAGAAAAUUUACAUACGAUAAUAGCGUUUGAGCAUUUGAUCUUUUGUCUUUAUACCACGGUGAAUUAAUUUAGAACUUCAGUGUUUUGUUAAAUAUCUAGUCUCUUAAUCUUCUUAAUAGUUAAUGUAAAGUGUUUUUUGCUCUCGUCGAAUGAGAAAUUUCCGAUUAAUCCUAAAUUGUCUAAAACCAUCUAUUUUGGUUCAAUUAAGAAAAAAAAGUUAUUUUAACCAAAAUGCUAAAUAAGACCCAAGUCCAUAUAGUUGGAUGCAAGGGCUUGUGUUCGCCAACCAAAUCCACACCUGCAAAGCCCAUAUGAGAAUCAUAUAAAUAGAUAAGUUUUCUUCAUUUCAAGUUCAAAAGAUUUUACUCUUAAAUAGUCUAGAGAAUUCUCCCAACAAAUAGAAGAUUUCAUAGUUCCUGAAGUGAACUACAUCAAGUAAGCAUUCAACCGAGAGAGAAUCAGAGGUCUAAGUACUAGAGAUCGAACCACACUCGCAUCAAACCUGAAUCUACACGAGUUUAACUCCAUGAAACAUGUUUCUUCGUAAACCUUGUGUGUGAAUAAAUUAGCAUGUCAAUUGGGACAUUUCUACCUGCAAUCUCUCUUUCAAAAUCCAAAUAAAAGAAUCAAUCAAUGACAAUAAAGAAAGUUGUAUCCAAAGAAACUGUUGCAAGUGACUUCUGCAUGAGACUUGAUAUCCAGAGUUAUUCAAAGAGGAUAAUGCAAGAACAAGGUUCUAUUCUCACAAAGAAAAGUUGGAAAUAACUAGUCUACUAAAGAAGAGAUUGUCGUAAGAAAGAAUCCUUUAUUUGACAAUUCUGUUUUUGCUUCUGAUCUACCAGAGAAAGAAUCACACCUUGAAAUAGUGUCUGUCAUGAUGACAUUAGUAAUAUUUGAGGCAGUCAUGGCAAAGAUAGAGAGAAAAAUAGAUCUCCUAAUGAAAGCUAUAUGAAGGAGCGAGAUCAUGAAAUCGUUGUCUUGAGAGAUCAAAUAAAGGCUUGUGAAAUUGUUGAGUCGAGUCAAACUUCUCCUAUCAAAGCUAAUGAUAGAGGAAAUGUUGUGUUGCAAGAAAACCAAGUGCAACAAUACAUCUUUAUCGCCUCCUUAUCAGUUCAACAACUAUAUAAUAUGAUUACAAGCUCCAUAUGGGCUUAGUAUGGAGAACCACUUUUAUGUAUUCCAAACCACAUACUAGGAGAAUCGAUGACUUGAAAAUGCUUGUUGGAAACCAACAUCCACAGUUCCAACAAUUCAAUGGAAAGGGCACUCCAAAAGAACGCAUUGCUCAUUUUGUUGAAACAUGCAAAAAUGCAGGGAGCAGAGGAGACCAACUGGUCAGACAGUUUGUUUGAAGCUUAACAGAAAAUGCUUUCGAGUGGUAUAUCAAUCUAGAGUCGAAAGUGAUUGAUAGUUGGGAGCAACUAGAAAAAGAGUUCCUCAACCACUUUUAUAGCAAUAGACCCAUCGCCAGCAUGAUGAAGCUAACAAACACCAAACAACAUAAGGGAGAGCCAGCCAUUGACUACAUAAACCGAUAAAUAGCUUUGAGUUUGAAUUGCAAAGAUAAAUUGGUCGAAACUCUUUGUAGUGGAGACGUGGACCUAAGGCAUGCAUUGAGAGCUUAUCUACAUCUUGUAGGGAAUAAGGCCCCACAUGUUUGAAGAGUUGGCAACUUCCGCCGAUGAUAUAGAGCUAAGCAUUGCCAAUAGGGGAACGAAAGUUUUCCUAAUCUCUUAAGGAAAAAAAAGGAAAGAAGGAAAUCAAAGGAAUUGGAGGGAUUGGAGACAGCGCCAUAAAAUAAUCUAUGGUCGUCCAUACGACCCUACUAAAAUUUUCCUCCAAAAAAAGAGAUCAAAGCUAAAAGGAGAAAUGACAGAGAGAAGCAUCAUCCAAUUCUUUAAGAAAGGUAGAAAAAGAUUUAACCAUUUCUUGGUUCAAAUAUUGCAGACAUGUUAGAACAUAUACUAGAGAAGCAACUUAUUCAACAACUAGAAUAUAAACCAUUGGAGCAAGAAGGAAAAGUAGAUAAUUCCAACUACUACAAAUAUCAUCAAAUCAUCAAUCACACAAUAGAGAAAUGUUUUGUGCUGAAAUAGCUAAUUCUAUGGUUGGCUCAUGCUUGUUUUAAUAUGUGCAUACAAUUGUUCAUGGAUAUGUUCUAUUAAGUUCUAAGUGAAUGACUUAUGAGGAAACUAGACUAGGAUGAGAUGUGGUAAAAGAAACAAAUUCUAUAUAUGUGUUGCUAAACUUCUCAUAAUUUACGUGUAAUACAAGUUUUUCUCUCUAUCGUCUAAGUGUAAGCGAAGAGCGGUUUCCUGGAAAGUCCAAGGUCAAGCACAGAAAAUUAAAGUUCCUAUUAAACCUAUCGCGCAACUAAACCUAUGUUGUAUAUUCUAUAUAGUCUGAAUAUGAACAAUAUACUUCUACCUUAACUAUAUACACUAAGAUGUAUUUGGCGGUGCAAGGUAAUCAUAGCAAUAGAUAAUGAGGUCAAGUUGCAGGCACAAGAUGAAGGAAUAUUUAAUUAACUGAUCGUAACGUAUUGUGUAUUAAUAUUUUGAGGUGAUACAAAGCAUCUAUUAACUUCAGAAUUAAGGCAAGCAUCCUUUCAACACCUUACCAUACUUGCUCGCUUCUUGGGAUUCAAAUAUUUAAAGUUAAGGUAUGAUUUGCAUCUGAUUAGUUUGUUUACAUUUCAAGUAAUUUAUCCUAAUUUAAGGUGAGUAACCUUUCGGUGCUUUCACCACACAUGUUAACGUUUUUGCAAUGUCACACCUCGCCUCACAUGCGUUCUUACUUGCCAUGCGAGACGCUGUAUAACUUGAGUAUUCGGACACAUUUAAACAUCAAAACACUCAACUUGAGGUCCUUUAGCUUUACUUAAUCGCCUAGUUUCUUAAACUUAACUAAAAUGAUAUACUUUAGGCUAUAAGAAUAAUUAACAUGAAGGGGAUAAUGAAUAACUCAUUUAUUAAACUUUACUAAGCGUUUUACAAAAGCUUUACAAGAUUACAUAAACACAACUCUUAAGACUUAGAAAGUAAAACGCCUAAUAGUUCUUUUCGCCUAGCAAGCCCUUCAUCCUUUUCCUUACUUGGUCUUAACACAUGAAACCUGGAAGGUAAUCUUUAAAACGUAAGUCUAAAAGACUCCAUGCGCUAGGUUUUAUGAAAACCUUUUCGCAAACUGCCUUUCGUAAACAUUAUUUUGCCAAACAUAUCAUUUUGCAUAAAUACAUCUUUUCAUAUUAAUAUAAUAAAUCAGAUAAAUAAUUUCACAAUAACACACAUUAGUCAACAAUCAUUCCUUUUGCCAAUGACCUAAAUCAUUAUUCUAUGCAAAGACUCAUCAUCUCAAGUUUAAACUACUGAGAUGGCCUUCUCAUUAUCAACAUCCAAUAAUAUCCUGAUUCAUUUCUUGUUGCUCGGGCCGAGAUACAAUGUACAUCUUUUAUGAUGGAAAAUGUAGACAUGCGCAACAAAAUUAUGAUCAAAUUUUUACUCUGAUUGCAACUUAAACACUUUAGUGAUUAACAUGCAUUACAAUCCUUAAAUGAAACCAAAUAGGGUUAAUAGAAAAACUCACUUUUGAUGUUUUUCUUUUCUUGUAAUCUCCUCACGUGCUUUUAACGAUCUCCUCACGAAAUUGAAGCCGGAACUACCACUAGCGUUGACUAGCUAUUCUCCAAAUUUAGAAUAGAGUUGUGAGACUAAAAAAUGGUGGAGGAAAUAGAGAUAUCUGAUAUCCUUUGGAGGAACCUAACCUUUAGGUUUCUUUUUUCGUUUUAAUUUUGUUUUAAUUUUUUUGAUGUUCCAAACUUCAAAUGAAAAGAGUUCUUGGUUUUAUUUUGUAAUUCUCAAUUACAAAAUUAAUUUUCAAUUUUUAAAUCUAAGAGUCAUUUCACCUUUGCUUAAAACUUGUUUACAAGCAAACUUAUGAGCUAGCGGUUUCUCUCUCUUAAAUCACAUUUAAAUCACAUUUAAACAUGAAACUCUAUCUUAAGUUAUAACUGAUGACUAUGUCAGAUAUAUUUGUCGGUUUCUCUCUCUUUACCUAAUUCGAACAAUUCGAAUUAUUCCAUCAUAAUAUUCUAAGUUGAUUUCUUAUGAGCUAGCGGAGGAUCCUUAUGGACCUAUAGAUCAUGGGCUCCAACGAUCCGAGAUUAACUGGCUAAACUCUUUAGACCGAGUUAAUAAACCUUCGUUAACUAACGGGUCAUUCCACUAAAGUCCUGUAGUUGCACUCCUCUCAUUAUAGAUAUAUUUGUGUUCAUGUGAUAUGACCAUGAUAAGUAAGUUAAUCAUUCACAGGUUGUUUAUAAUCUCAGUUGGGUCAAAGUACCGUUUUACCGUCGAGAUUAUAUCUUUUCUCCUUAAGUCCCACCGAUCCACUAUUGAACAAUUAGUUUAAGGUCCAACGUUUAAACCGAAUCCUUCUUAGGCCAAUGAGAGGGUGGGACCCCUUGUUCAAGACUUGGAUUCAGUCCUUAAGGGAACAAUCUAUCUACUAACCCUAGAGUGGGUAGGAGUGAAUUUCGUCUUGCACCCUAUGUCCCUAGCUAUCCACCCAAUCUUACCCCAAAAUGAGAGGCUUAUUGGGCCAGUGCCAUUGAGCUGCCCUCACCUAUGCAUAUAUAAGAAUAAGUUCGUGUGAACAGAAGUUCAUAGUUAGCUCAAGAUUAAGAUUAAGUUAUAUUGGAUAUCUAUAAACAAAAUAGUCAGUUUUAUUAAAGUCAACGGUGUUAUAACCUAAAAGCGACUAUUUCUAUGGUUCCAGUCUUAUGUAAACUCUUUACAUAGGAUGCCCCCAUUUUCAUGACUUUACAUGAACGAUUCAUGAUCACAUCGUUUAUACUAACUAUAAAGCGGGUCAUAUCCAUAGUGUCCAUAGACUCCCCAGAACAAGGUGUCCAACUAUAUUCCUAUACUAUAGACUAUUUAGGCUAUAUACUCGAACUUGAUCCACAUUUAUGUCUCUACAUACAGUUCAAGUUUACUCAAUAAUAGACUUGGGACAUUUUUUUAUUGUCUUUAAGAUUAUAAUAUCAAUAACGAUUUUAUUGAAUAAAAUAUUAUUAUAAACUGUGAGUUUUAGGACAUAAAUUCCAACAUUUUAUACAAUUUCUUGCCUCAUGUCACAAUGCACAUCUUUUAUGCAUGGCUACCUUUAUUCUUUAUGUGCAUAUAACAAUUAGCUCAUUUAUAGGAAGUAGACUAAUGGUUUGAACAACAUUUCAUAAACAUUGAUACAUGUAAAACAUACUUCAAAACAUAGCAUAAGCUUUCCAUAGUAAUCUCUUGAAAACAUUCGUAUUGAAAUAAGUAUUUCAAACCAAUAAACACUUUAUUAAGAAGGCUUGAAAUCAUGUAAAUCACUUUGAAGAAACAUUCCAAAACAUUCCCAAAACAUUCCCAAAACAUAGCUACGGUUUUUUGUUAUACGACUGACGCUGAAGCGUGGUUAAAUCUGUUAGAGAAGUGUUUAAAAGUGAUGGACUGUCCCGAAGAGAAGAAAGUCAAGUUAGCAACUUUCCUACUGUAAAAGGAAGCAAAAGGAUGGCAAAUUUCAAUUAAAGCUAGAAGAAGAGAUACAAAUACCAUGAGUUUGAUAGUUCGAGGACUAUUUGAAGAUAAAUAUUAUUCCAAGGUCUAUUGUGAAACAAAGAGGGAUGAAUUCCUAAGAUUAAGAUAAAAUUCACUGUCAGUGGCUGAGUACAAAAGAAGGUUAUAACAAAACUCUCUUGAUAUGUUGAACCAAUUGUGGCAUCCGAAAGUGAUAGAUGCCAACAAUUCGAGAAAGGACAUAGGCAAGAAAUUCAGACUCCAGUAACAACAACAUCAAAGUGGGAGGAUUUUUCACAGUUUGUUGAAACUACUUUAAGAGUGGAACAAAGUUUAUCAUCAAGAAAGUUUGAUGGUACGGAUUACCAAACUGAUUAGAAAAUAAGCUAUCAAGAAAGGAAUCAAGAAACUAAAAAGAGCUUUAGACUUGAAAUAUCGAAAGGAAAUAAUUUUAAGAAUGGAUUCAAGAAAGGAAACUCGUUCCAGUCUCUAAACUUAUAAAACAGUUAUCAGAGGUCGAUUGCAAGCAACAAUAAUAAACAUGUUUGUGGAGAAUGUAAUUAGUACCAUCUUGGACAAUGUCUCAAAGGAGGAGACAUUUGCUUUCGAUGUAAGCAAUCAGAACAUUUUGCGAAAAAUUUUCCUUUGAUGAAUAGAAGUCAACCAAGUGAUCAAGGUACUAUCUCUUUAUCUGUAAAUCAACCAAAAAUAACUCCGAGAGGAGAAGGAACUAGCAAAUAUGAAAUAAAAAGGAGUUAUGAGAAAUUAAGAACUAUUGUGUUAUAAGUAUGUAACAAGUUCUAUGUUAUGUAAAUAAAAGUAUCAUUUUAUGUUUAUUGCUUGAUAUUUAAAAUUUUGAGGACAAAAUUUCUUAAGGGGAUAAGAAUUGUGAAACUCAAAAUUUCUUUAACCUUUGGAAUUUGUUAAGCUUAGUCAAGGUCAAGAGAAAAUGAAAUUUAUGGAAAAAAAGGUAAAAAAUACUUGAAAUUUAGAUUUUAAGUUGAGGAAAAGAGCAAAGUUGAAAAUUUUGACAAGUGUCAAAAUUAAGUCAUUAGUCGUUUGGAGGUUGUAUGAUGACAAAGGAAGGCUAAGAAAAACCUCCAAAAAAGCGUCAUUUGGUGACAAAAGGAGGCUUGAGAACCUCCAAGCAUAGACGCUUGAAAUGGUUUGGGCGGCCAAAAGAAGGAAAACAAUCUCUAAAGGGGUUAACUAUUCCAUCUUCGAAAGAAGGGGUUAAAUACUGCCAGUGGUUGUGGAGAUCUGUCUUCGAAAAGUUAUGCAAAUGUUAUAAGUUUCAUGUUGUGAUCGUUUACUGAUAAAUGUCUUCAAGCUUCGAUUUUAUACUAAAAUACUUAUAAGACUUGUUUUAUAAAAUCGUACGUUGUUCACCAAGUCUUUCGACUUGUGCUUUCAAAAAUGUUUGACCUCUUUCCAGGUAUAGAUUGUGGGUCUCUGUAUGCUGAACUUACUGCUGGCAGGCCAACUUAGUUUUCAUUAUGCAAGGACAUUGUUUUGUUUCAAGAUAGUAAUGUGAUUGUUCAAAUAUUUUGUAUCUUCAUGUUAUGUUCAUUUUCCAUGAUACAUUUUAUAAAAGAUUUUAAAUGGGUCACACUACAGUUUAAAGUAUUUCAAGUGAAAAGACUUCUGCUAUUGAUUGUUUCACGUUUCCAUGUCAUGUGUUAGUUUAGGUUGCUCUGGAGGCGCAUGGCUUCAGCUGACAUCAGGUCACAUCACGAGACAAGCAAACAGGUGGCUGAGAUGGGGUGUGACACACAUGAUACACUCAAUAUACAUUUGGUACACAUGAUACACAUAUAUACAUAUUUAUACACUUGAUACAUAUGUUAUCAUAAAAUAUAAAUGAUGAAAAUAGCCAAAUAUUGUAGACUUUUACUUUAGUGGCAAUUAAGUGAAUAUGCGUAAUGACAUUUGGGUAAAUAAAACAAUUUGACAGUUUUGGGAAGUUGAUCUUUAUAAAUUGUAGGGUAAAAAAAUUAAAAGUGAAAUACUUUUUUAAGGGGUGUGUGCAUUUUAAGUCAGGAGUGAGUUAUUAUAGUCCUAGAUUAUUAUAGUUGAGUUAUAAUAAUUUGUGUUUAGAGUGUAGAUUAUUUUAGUUGGUUUAUAAUAGUAUUUUUUUUGUGGUUUCUAUAUAUUUUUAUAAUAUAUAUAAAUAUUUUAACAAAAAUUCAAAAUCCUUUAUCAUAAAUCCUAAGAUAUGGUAUAUCUAUGGUAUAUCAAGUAUAUAAAGUAUAUAAAGUGUGUCUCGAAUGUGUAUACCAAAUAUAUAUCAAAUCUGUCAAGUGUAUUAGAAUGGUGUCAAGUGUAUCAAGUAUAUAUCAAAUUUCUAUUGUGUGUAUGAAAGUGAAUAUCAGUAAUGUAUCAAGUGUAUAUUAGUAAUAUAUCAAGUCGUGUCGAAAGCAUCAAGUGUAUAUCAAACGGUAAAGUGUAUAUUAGGUGUAUCACAUGGGUUCGACUAAUUAAGUCUGUCUUAUGGCAAAAAAAAAAAAAAAAAAAAAUCGAUGGGUAUUUAUGUGUUAAAAGAUCUUUUUCUGACACUUUUUGGUAUAUAUCCCGACGAUUUUGGGCGUCGGGAGAUCCCCUAUUUCUUGUGUAGUGCUUGUGUUUUGCCAUCUUCGUAAAAAAAUUAGUCGUUCUUAUGAGCUUAAUUUUUAAAACUUAUUUUGCUUGACAUGUAAGAAGACCAUUAAACUUUGCACAUACUCUCGAACAAAUCCCACGUAUAAUAAUAAAUCUCCUACGUAGCUCAUAGAGAUAAUAUCCAAAGUAGAAAUGGUCAUAAAUAGCAAAUUUUACAAAAAAUUUACAACAUAUAGCAAAAUUUUCAGAUUCUGUCAAUAAUAGACAUUGAUAGACACAAAUUUGCUUCUAUUAGUGACAUUUACAAACAGUGAUAGAACUCUAUUGAUUUCUAUCCUUGAUAGAAUCCAAAAUUUUGCUAUAACUGAUAAAUAUUUUAAUUUAUUUAGCUAUUUUUAAGAAUGACCAUAAAACUAAUAUAUUUCUUAACUUAAUAUUCUAAUUUUAUCUAAACUUUUAAAAUUUUCUUCAUUUUAUUUGUAAACCCACAAAAUCUCUCCUUUAUUUCUAAAUUUUUAAAUUUAUUUUAUCUUGAUCUUUAAAUUUGAAAUUUCUAUUUUGAUUAAUGCUGGCAAACACAAGAAAGAAUUAAGCUCGUGACCUAUUUUGAAAGCUUAGAAAAAAUUAUCUCAUGACAAAUGCUUCUAACUUUAUAUAUAUAUAUAUAUAUAUAUUAUUAUUUCAAUAAUUGCAGGGACGUUUUCAAAAAUAGCAAAAUAAAUUAAAAUAUUUACAAGCUAUAAUUCUAUUAAUGAUAGUCUUCUAUCACUAUAGAAUAUCAAUAACUAUUAGGAAUAUAAUUUGCUAUAGGUUGUAAAUAUUUUCUAAAAUUUGUUAUUUUUGAAAAUUCCUCCAAAUUUUAUUUGACCUCUAAACUAAGGAAGAUGCUCAAAGCAUUUUUUUUUCUCUAAAAUAAAAAGAAUAAGGUAUUAUUGGGUUAAUAAAGAAGAGUACCACCUAUUUAAUAAAGGAAAAUAUGUACGCAUAUUGAUAAUGUCAAUCCUAUUAUUAUGGACAUGUGAAACAUGAUAGAAAAUUAUGUGGGAAAAAAAAAAAGGAAUAAAAAACUUUUCUCUGUCAAUAUAUAAGAAUAUGGUGUACAUUCAAGCAAUCAUCUAACUUAAUCCUUCUAAAAUAUUGAUAGCAAUCUUUCCCAUUUUUUCUUUUCUGAUGAGUAACUCAAACUAUGUAAUCUCCGAGAAUGUCGGAAAAAAUACUCAUCAUCUUCCUGUUAUGGUUGUCAUGGUUCCUUUACCGUUGCAGGGCCAUCUAAACCAGCUCCUCCACCUCUCUCGCCUACUCUCUGCCUUCAACAUCCCUGUUCACUUCGUUAGCACCGCCACACACAACCGCCAAGCGCAACAUCGCAUUAGUGCCAAAAUUAAAAACCAUCUGAUCCAAUUUCAUGACUUUGACUUACCAAUAUUCCCUUCUCCAAACCCCAAUGCAACCCACAAAUUCCCCUCCCAUCUCGUCCCCAUGGUAAAUGAAGUGUUGGUCCACUUUCCUCGCCCUUUCGCUGCCUUUCUUUCUUCACUUUCCCAAAAAGCAAAACGACUCAUUGUCAUCCAUGAUUCCCUAAUGUCAUCUGUGGUUCAAGUCGUAGACUCCAUUGUCAAUGUCGAAUCAUACCUUUUCCAUAGUGUUUCAGCUUUCGUUACCACUCUCCAUAACUUGGAGCGUAAAGGGAUUGUAGUUGGCGAUGGCGACGACGACGAGGAAGAGUGUGAAAGUAGAACAUUUUACAGAGAGUAUGUUUUGAAGGAAUUGAACACUGCUCGUUCAUGGGAAAGCUGGUUUUCGGUGGAGUUUUGGGAUUUAAUUAAGUCACAGUUUGGUCAGCUACCAAAAAAGACAUGUGGACAAAUAUAUAACACUUGUAGAGUUAUUGAAGGCUCGUCUUUGAAGUUGAUUGAAAGAAUUGAAAGUAAGCUUAAUAACUGGGCAUUAGGUCCUUUCAACCCUGUCAAAAAGUUGAAGGUACUACACACAUUUCACUAAUAUGGUUUUUAUAGAUUUUCUCUAUCUCUGUAUACAUUUCACGAAUAUAUAAUCAACCUAAUAGGCUUAGGUGAUCGGUUAAUUAUAUUAAAUUUAUUUAUAUUGAUACUUUCACUUUUCCUUACAAGUGGGUUUGAAGAUUUAUAGGAUAAGUAAAAAUUAGUAAUAACAAGAGUGACAUUAUAAUAGUUGACAACAAAACAUGGCGGAAUCUCUCUCUCGAGCAAGGUAAUGAGAAGGAUCCGGGUCGGACAGGGAAGAAGCCUUAUGAUUUACUCGACUAUUCAAAAACUUAUUAUACUUUAAUAUCAUAUUAAAUCAAAAAUUAACCUAAAAGGGUUAAAAGGUUGUAAUUGAUUAUGGUAAUAUUUUAAUAGUUGUAUUUGGUUAUUUUAGAAUGGGGAGAGGUCAUCGUCUAAGCACAGUUGCAUGUCAUGGCUAGAUCAACAAGAACCAAGAUCAGUGAUAUACAUCUCGUUCGGGACAACAACAACAAUGGAAGACAAACAGAUUAAUGAAAUAGCGAUUGGGUUAGCAAGAAGCCACCAAAAGUUCAUAUGGGUCAUUCGAGAUGCUGAUAAAGUCGAUAUCUUUCACGAAGAUAAUAAUAAAAGGUCCAAGCUCCCAGAAGGUUACAAUGACUUAAUUGGUGAUCGAGGGUUGAUAAUAAGAGAGUGGGCACCACAGUUGGAGAUACUAAGCCACUGGGCGACUGGAGGGUUUAUGACGCAUUGUGGAUGGAAUUCGUGCUUGGAGAGCAUAACAAUGGGAGUGCCAAUGGCAGCAUGGCCAAUGCACUCGGACCAGCCAAGGAACAUGGUGCUUGUGACGGAGAUAUUGCGAGUAGGGUUGGUGGUGAAAGACUGGGAGCUAAAGGAGGAGGUGGUGUCGGCAUUGACCGUGGAGGAAACGGUGAGAAGAUUGAUGGUGUCGGAGGAUGGGGCAGAGAUAAGAAUGAAUGCAAUGAGGGUGGGGGAAGCUGUGCGACGGUCGAUAGAAGAUGGUGGAGAUUCUCGCAAAGAGUUGGAGGCUUUUGUUAAUCAUAUUACACGGUAGAUGAAAAAGUUUUUGUUUUCAUAUUAUUUGUUUAUGAUCGUUAUAAAAUAUAUCGUGUUAACUACUUAAUUCAACUAUCCUUCUCUCAUGAAGGAGUAUGCAAUUUUAAAAUUUUGAAGUACCCAUUUCACAAAUACUAAAUUCUAACAUCAAAGUUAACUACUUAAUUCAACUAUCCUUUUCCCAUCAAAGAUUUAGUUGAUAUUCUGACACAGGCAAAAGGGUAUUCAUUCUGUAUAAAUAAAUAGGUAAUAAAAUGUCACUUAUAUGAGAAUAUAACAUAAAUAAUAAAUAUUUUGACUUUGUUUAAAAAUGUUUGCUUAUUAUUUGAUCUCUCUUAGAAAACAUUCAUCAAUCAAAUACUUAUAUUUUCAUUCACAUUUCAAUAAAAUGAUUUCAAAAGUUUACUUGGUUCAAGCACCCAUUCAAACUAAUUUAACUACAUUGACAAUGAGUUUUUAAUUCCAUAUGUAUAUUAUUCCUUGCUGUCAUUUGCUUUCUUUUAAUAUCUAUCUCUUGUUACUUUUCUAGUACAAAGAAGAUGAGAAAUAUGAAACUCUUUGGUCGAUAAAUUGACGUGCAUGUGAAAGGAAGAUUAACUUUUCAAACUUCCAUUAUUUUUUCCUACGUAUUUAAAAUUUUCAUAAUGCUUUCUAUAUAUUUAGUUUCUAUACUUUUGAAAUAUUAAAUUAUUCCUUAAGAGAUUUAGGGAUCUUUUUAAAAAAUAUAAUAAAAAGACAAAAUAUUUACGAGAACAAAUUCGAAAGCAGAAAAAGCCAACAACCUCACAAUGGAAAAUACAAAAAAUGCCUCAUACAACCUCAUGGAAAAUACAAAAAAUGUCUCAUAAUUAAUUAUCAUUCCACACGUAAUAUAUUUGAAAAACGAUCGUUUAGAUUUGAUCGUUUAAAUUUAGGUAGCCAAAUCUAAACGAUUUUUUUUCCAUUUAUUUUUUUUGUAGAUUUGGUAUAUAAUAGUUUAUAUUUGAAACACGAUUGUUUAGAUUUGAUAAUUUAAAUUUGGCUGUUCAAAUCUAAACAAAUUUUUAAAGAUUAUUGGGUACACGAUAUUACUUAGAUUUAACUAUUUUUAGUACACAUCGUUUAGAUUUGGCAAUCCAAUAUUCCAAUGAUUUUUCUUUUCAGUAUCUUAAAUAAUCAAAUUGUUACACGAUCUUGUUUGUAAAAAAAUUGCAAAAAUGAAAAAGACAUUGCAAAAGAAAGAAGAUGGAAAGGAAGACAGACAAAAAUAUUUUUAAAAAAUUGUAGAAGAAGAGGAAGAAAGACCAUGAAAAUAAAUAAAAAAAUAUCGCAGAAGAAGAGGAAGAAAGACCAUGAAAAAAGGAUAAACAUGGAAUAUUUAAAAAAUGAUCAAUUGCAUGAGUUUUUUUUUUUCAUUUUAUUACACGAGUCAUAAAUAUUUUGUUAGUUGGUUGUAUUUAUGAAAAUUAACCAUAGAUUUAUUUAAAUAUUUUAGGAAGGUGCACAAUAUAUUGACAAAUGAAAUAAUAUAAUGGACAUUUUAAAAAAUAGUAAAAUAAAUUAAAAUAUUUACAAGUUAUAGCAAAAUUUUGGAUUUUAUCAAUGAUAGUCUUCUAUCACUAUAUAUCAAUGACUAUCAGUGAUAGAAUUUGCUAUAGGUUGUAAAUAUUUUGUAAAAUUUGCUAUAUUUGAAAAUUUCUCUAAUAUAAAGUUGACCUAAAUUGAAAAUGUAAUUUUUUUCUAUCAUGUUUUUUUUACUACUUUAAACAGCUGUAGGUUCUUUUCUUUAUGUACCAUUUUCUUCUUGUUGGAACCAAACCUUUCAAUUUUAAAAAAAAUAACAAAGAAAUUAAAGAAAACAAUAAAAGCUAAAAACACAAAAAUUUACUUGUAAAACUCCCAAUUUGGAAAAAAAACCACAUCAAGAAAAGAUAUCUACUAUGUGAAAAAUUGUUAUGACAAAGAAUAUAAUUUUCUCUCUUCCUGUCCUAAUUAGAUGAACGAUCUUGCAAAACGUUUAGCCACUCACACCCUUUACCCAUUCUUCUAGAAAACAAAAAGAAUUUAGUCAGAAUUAGCACACUAAAUAUUAAAAUGCUACUAAAUGGAACUUUUGUAAAAAAAAGAGGUGGACUCUUUUCAUAGACUUUGGAGUCACCCACCUUUCUACAAACUAACUGAUGUGAGACAACUACACUUUUAAUAUUGUGAUCCAUAAUUUCUUUCAUAAAAGUAUAGAGCACAGAAGCAUCUCAAGAUGUUUGAACAUAUUAAGAUGCUCAAGAGGGAAGCAUCGUAAGAGCUAAAAUUUUGGUGUCCUUUACAACCAAGUUUCCAAAUAUUCUCAUAUUGUGGGCAUCUUGCGUUUACCUUUAUGUUUUCCUUAUAUGAUGUAUAUGUAAGCGUGGAUAUGCCUACACUCAUACAAAUCAACCUUAUUUGUUUUUUUAGGUUACAGUUACCUAAAAUGACCAUGAACUUUGUAAUAAUUUACGUAAAAAAUGUCAAAAUUUCAUAAAGAGUUAAAAAGUACUCUACUAUUAGUUUUGGAUGGAAACUAUGAAAUUUUUCUUUAAAAAGUAUCCUUGAACUAUUAAAAAUUUCACAAAUACUCUGAGCUUAGAAAAAAGUUCAAAGGUACUCUCAUUUAUCCAAAAUUUACACCGUUUUCUAACCAAUUAAAAUUUUGAGUCAAAUCCACAACUUUAAACAUAUUUGACUAGUAACACAAAAUAAUAGAUCACAAUCACAACCAAUCUCAAUAGUUAUUGUUAAAAUUAACGAACAAUUAUUUGUCAAAUAAAAAAUUUGUUUGACUAUUAAUACAUAGUGAUAUUAUUAUAGAUCUAUCAGUGUGAGAUGUUUUUAUUUGACUAUUAUUGUUUUACUAUAUGUUUUGAGGAUAAUUUAUUUAUUUUGAAAUUUUAUCAUAUUUUGUGCAAUUUUAUGUUUUAACCAAGAUGCAUUAUGUGAAGCAUUGUGAAGCCUGUCAAUUCCAUGCAAAUUUUAUACAUAAACCAUCAAAGUCUCUUCAUCCAACAAUAGCUUCAUGGUCUUUUGAAGUCUAGUGACACGAUCUUGUUUGACCUAUCAUGCUUAAGUCAUUGGUUGGUCAUUUUUACAUCCUUACAGAGUGAUUAUUUUUCUAGAUGGGUUGAAGUUGUACCAUUAAGAGAAACAAAAAAUGAAAACAUCGUAGUAAAUUUUGUUCGAACAUACAUCAUUUAUCGAUAUGGUAUUUCUCAUCGCAUCGUGACUAGUAAUGGAAGAUAAUUUACUAACACUUUCAUGGACAAGUUGUGUGAGAAGUUUAACUUCAAAUAGUAUAAGUCUUCCAUGUGCAAUGUUGCAUCAAAUGGGUUGGUAGAGGCAUUCAACAAAACUCAGUGCAAUCUUCUAAAAACGGAGGUCUCGAAGACAAAAAGAUAUUUGUGAAAAAAAACUGGAGAAGAAUUGUGGGCCUAUUGAACUACCCAUCGUACUUCUACAAGUGUUACACCCUAUUCUUUGGUUUACGGAGUAGAAGCAGUUCUUCCACUAGAGAGAGAAAUUUCAUCCUUGAGAAUGGCAAUUCAAGAGGUGCUAACUACUGAGGACAAUGCUAAAUUACGCCUUUAAGAGUUAGAAGCACUUGAUGAAAAGAGAACAAGAAGCUCAACAUGCACUAAAAUGUUAUCAAGCAUGAAUGUCUAAGGCUUUUGACAAACAUGUAAAGCUUGGUUAUUUUAGGUUGAUGAUUUAGUGCUUGUAGUAAGAAAACCUAUCAUCAUGACAAGACAUGGAGAAUAAGUUCACACCUAAAUGGGACGGACCUAUAUCAUCAAAGAAGUUUUAAAAAAUGGGGCAUACAAAAUCAUUGAUCAAGAUGGAUUAAGAAUUGGUCAAAUUGUUUGUUGGACUGUGUUUCAACUACCUUGGAGUUAAUCGCUUGUGUAUAUUAGUGCCUGGACUUAAUAGUUUCUAUUUAUGUUUGAUAUAAUCGCAAUACGUCACCAAGUCAAGUCCUUGCGUGUAACACACUCAUUAUGACUCUUUGUACCACAUGUUUUAUUCUAAGUGAUGCUUCAUCGGUCAUGAGCAUAGUUAUGUGAAAGGCUCACAAUGUACCUCUUCACCAUGUAAUUCUUAAGUUCUCGUUGAGCACAACUUUUUCUACUACUUGUCCAAGUGUAAGCGAAACAAUAGGUUUAACUAGGUGAUCUAUGGUAUUAUUAUUAUUAUUAUUAUUAUUAUUAUUAUUAUUAUUAUUGUUAUUAUUACAUAAAUUAAUACAUCAAAUGGAUAUUAAAAUACUUUUAUUUUAAAUUGAUUUUCUUUUUUUCUAAAAUGAUUUUAGUAAGUUAAAAUUAAUAUUAGAAGAUUUUAUUUAAAACAAAUUCAUUUAUUUUUUCCUAAAAUAGUACAAAUAAGAUAAAUGUGAUAUUAAAUAUUUUAUUUAAAAUAAAUUGAUUUAUUUUUAUUUCUUAAAAUAAUAAAAAUGAGAUAUUAUAAGAUAUUAUGUUAUUACUAAUUUCUUUUUACCUUUUCUUUAAAAAUAAAUAAAUAAAAGUUUAGUCAUUAUUACUAAUAUUAAUUUUAAAGAAAAAUAUUGGUAGGAUAAAAAUAGAUGGCUACAAUGUUGAUGUUAUCAAUGGAAAUUAUGCUUAUGGUGUUUGGUCAUGGAGUAUUUCAUGUGUUUGGAUUUCAAUUAAAAACGAGUACUUGUAAAAUUUAUGAAAAUCUAAUUAAUUUAAAAAUUGUUAUAAAGAAAUUACCUAUUUUAUAGCCAUGAGCAAACGUUAUAGGAACUUUUGUAAAAAAAAAAAAAAAAACUAUCAAAAGGUUAAUACAAUAAUAAUAAUAGGGAUUAUAAUGGAUUAAAUAUCAUUGUUAUAACAUAUAAUUAUAGCUAGAAAUAAUAUAUUAUAACCUUAAAAAAAUGUCAUUAUAUGUCAAAGAUAACAUUUGAUUUUAGAUACGUAAAUAUAUUAUAGCUUUACUAUAAAAACUAUCAAAUGGGUUUAUAGCAUCAUAUUUAAGCUAUAUAUGUAUACUCUAUUAUAGCGUCCAUCAUAGCUGUACGAGAAGGCUAUAAAAAGUUUCAGACAUUUAAUAACAUGAACUGUCAGGACUUUCGAAAAAGGCUAUGAAAGAUCUUAUAUAAUAUUUUUCGUUAACUAUUGUAAGUAUUAUUUCGUGUAGUGAUUAAAACUAAAGGUUAGAAAAAUUUAUAUUUGAAUAUGAUUCAAAUUUGAAUUAAAUUAAAUAUAAGAUAUUUAGUUUAGUAAUUAAUUAAUAAUAUAGUUUUAUUUAAUUAAAUUAAAACUAUAAGAUAUGAGAUCGAUAUUCAUUAAAAAUGAUUUGAAUGGUAUAUUAAUUAAAUAUGAUUUAAUUAAUUAAUUAAUUAAAUAUUUUUUAAAUUAAUAAAAUCACAUCAAUCAUUCUCUCCCACUUCUUCAAGAAGAGGGAGUUAUAAAUACACGGAACAAAACAAGUUUUUCAACCUCAGCUAUUUUGCCUCUUUGCAAAUUCUCUUAAGAUUCUCUCAAAAGAUUUUCUUCCAAUUGGAUCUUACAAAUAAUCAAUCUCAUCCUAGAGGAUAGGAAGAUCUUUGAUCGGUGGUAUCACAAAUUUAUAGUUUUAGUAGAUUAAGAGGCGUAAAACUAUGUGAGUUUUUCUUUCUCUAAUUUAUAAUUUUAAAGCAUGUUUAGCCUCCUUUAGAAAAUUGUUUUUGUAGCUAUUGUCAAUGUACGAUAUUUUUAAGUUUCCAAUUAAAUUGAUCUAAGGUCUCUAUAAAAUCUAUAAAAUCUUCCACUAAAUCUUCCACUGCCAAACGCUUUAACUCAUUCGACAACCCUACUAACUCCCAACCCUAGAAUUCAGUCGUCCGAAGAACCCUGCUGAUUUUUUUGAAUGCUUUGAAAUCUACCGACGCAUGACUUGAAGCGUCGGGAGUGCGACCACAUCUCCUGAAGUGGGCAACAAAACAUUGGGUGUGCUCCAAUAUUUUCUUACGUUUUCUUCGUUGCAUCAGGAAUGCCGGUAUAUCUUUUGACACAUGAAGUUAUACAUCGGGAGUUGGUGGGUACCCCAAUGCUCCGUGUAUGGCGUCGGGAUAUACUAUAUCUUCCGACAAUCUAAUCCGAAGUCGGAAGAGCCAAAAUUUCUUGUAGUGUGAGUAGGAUACUGCUCAGCCUCACGAAUAUUGUACUGAAUGUGAGCCAUGUUCUACAAAUAAUACACAGAUUACAAGUCAGUUCCUUGUUGACCCAUCUCGUUACCGAUUGUUAACGUUGCACUACCCAUGGAACCAUUGCAAAUAACACACAGAUUAUAAUCAUGUAUGCAAACGAAAAGCAACCCUAGCGGAGAAGUUUCAUAUAAAAAUCAGACGUCUUCAUGGUGAAACAAAAGAAAGGAACAUAUUAACCAAAAACGGUGUACUACUGAUGGUCAAACGACCAGUUGGUAAACCCUACAGACGUGGCCGAAUGAUCCAGCACGAAGAAGGAGAAGAAACGAUGAGAUUCAAUUGUGUUUCUUAAAAAAUAAUUAAUGCGAAGAUGGGAGAACCUCCCACUUCAGCAAAAAUUUGAACUAUAAUGGAGGUAUUCCGUAAUAUUGCUUUCUUAUUUCAACUACAAAUCAUGUGUGAAAACCGUGAAUUAGUAUUAAAUUAACCUUGUAAACUAUGUAGGUAAACUUAAUCAAUUAUGAUAACAUAAAAAAUUGUCAAGUUCAUUUUCAUUAUCCAUCAAUUAAAACUUUCAUUAUCGUUCUAUAAACAUGAUUCUAAAUUCCUAAAACUAUCUCUCAUUCAAUCUUUCAUUCAACUUACAAAUAUGUUUACAAGGUAUACGCAACCUGUUUACAUUCUCAUGUCUAAGAUGAAUUUUUUAAUCAUACACACACCCCUAUCUUCAGAUGGAGCUUUAGUGAUUGUUGUCAAUUUCAGUUUAUAACCUAGUCAAUUUUGUUACCUUAUUUAUUAGUUACAAAUCUAGAUAUAAUUAGUUAGUCUAUUCCCUUUUAUGUUCUCCUGAUAAACAAAAGACUUCAAUUCAAUCUCUUAUUCUCUAAAAGCAUAUUGAAAGCUCAUUUGGAUAACUAUUUCAUUUUUCUAGGAAAAUUAAACCUUUUUUUGUAUGCUUACGAUUGUAUCCACCCAACCAAAUUCCAAAAACAAAAAUAAGUUUUUUAUUAAAAAGUUAUUUUUUUCAAAAUUUGACUUAACUAUUCUAAAACACAAGUUAGAAGUAAUAUUAUUAAAAAAAUCAUAAUAUUUAUAAGCUUAAAUUUCCUAAACUGUCUAAGAACAACAAAAAAAAGAAGACUUAAAAUAGGAACAAUUUCUUAAAAUGGAUUAUGAAUAAGAAGAGGACAAGAAAAUGAAGUCCUGUGUUUUGGGAAGCAUAGUAGUAGCGCUGCCGACUUAUAAUUAUGAAAUAGAGAACAAUGUAGAGCCGAAAUUAAUAAAAUCAAUCACAUCACUUUCCUCAAACUAUUCUUGUGAUGUGUUGUGUUUUGUGAACUCUUGAGAUUUUUGUUUAUAGUUAAAACUUCCUUCCACAAAAGAGAAAAAAAAAAGUCGGCUUCGUCGCUUUUCUUCGUUUUUUUCUCUAUUCCUUUUGAUUCGAAAAAGAAAAUAACAUUUCUUUAGAUUUUGAUAUUCUUCAUUUAUUUGUAACUUGUUAUGUGUUUGUACUUUGUUUUCUUUAGAUUUCAUUUUUCUUUCUUUAUCGUCUAGUAUUUUAAAAGAAUCAAUAUCAUUUUGCAAGUAUUCAUUGGUGUCGGCCUAUUUUAUACAUAUAUAAAAAAAAAAUUGAACAAAAACGUUUUGUUCCUUCAUUUGAAGUAUUUCAUUCCAAUUUUGACGAGUUCAAUCUCACCUCUUCUUUUUCGGAGUUUAGUGCAAAAUAUCGAAGUAUUUUAUCAAAUUCAAGUAGGUUAAAAUUGUUGUUCUACUAACAUGAGAUGUUUUAUCUUGUUAAGUCUGUGGAUUAUUGUACUUUGCUUGUAAUAUGUGUUGGUGAAUUAUUGUGUAUUGGGUGAAUUAUUGUGAUUUGGACAACACUUAUUAAUUAAAGCAUAUCUCAAUAACCUAUUGGCUUUUUUUUAGAAAGAUCUUAUUUUUGUCGUUAUUUUCUAAAACCCUUAGUAUUGGUGUCGUUGAGCCAAAAUAAAAUUUAAUUGAAUCUCACUCAUUAAUAUUGGUUUUAUUUAUGGGAGAAAACUUCAAAUUUGAUUUGUGAAGCUAACAUAAUAUCCAAAUAACGCAGAGUAUAUCUUAACUGUAUAUCAAAAUAAUUGUGAGUUGAACUUUUUGCCGUUUAUACAAUAUUAAAAGAAAAGAAAACUUUCAUUUCAACUUGAGAGUAAAUAGAGUUGUGGAUUAAUCCAAUUUAGGGAGAUAAGAAUAAAGAUUGAGGAUAAUAAAUGUAUGAUUUGUAGAACAAACCGAAGUUUUGUGGUGGGGAGAUCCAUUGUAAGAAAAAGAUUUGGAUAAGUAUCCUUAAUAGGAAGAAAUAAUUUCUUUCUUUCUUCUUCUUCUUCUUUUUUUUCUUUGUUUUGGAACGCUUAGGAGAUCUCUACAAUUUAAUUUAGUUUUCUUUAGUUUUGUUUGUUGUAGAAAACUGCUCUAGUGUGGGUCCCAUUUAAAGUUUAAUAUUUAUUUGUCUUCUUUUUGCUACUAAUAAUGAAUUAUUCAUUCGGGAUCUAAUAGUCUAUUUUGUGAAAUUAACAUAUGAAUAGAUCGCAAAUAAUGAAUUGAAAUUGAUUCAAAUAAUUAUAUGAGAAAAAUAAGAAUUUAACCAAUGCAAAAAUGAUAAGUUUCACACAAUAUUUGUUGUAGAAUAAACCCCAGUAAAAGAAGUUAUGUAAAGUAGAGUGUGUAAGUGGAUACACUUACGAAAGCUGGUGCAAUAAACAAACAACUUUGAUAUCCUCACAUAUAAUUUUGAACUAAAAUCUAUCUAGUAAUAUGAGCUAUAAAAGCCUCAAAUUCCUGACGAGACUCACCGCCUUCUUCCAGCGAUUGUCGCACAACAUUCCCUAAUCUCUCUGCAUUCCUCCUCACCUCCGCCCCUUCCUCCGACGCCAUCAACUUCCUAACCACCUCCUCUACAGCAUCUGCUAUCACCAGUUCUUGUUGCCACUCUUUGAGUGCCACCCCGACACACAAGACCAUAGUCAUAAGCACUGUGUUCCUCGGCUGAUCAGAGUGCAUUGGCCAAGCAAUUACUGGGACCCCCGUCGUUAUGCUCUCCAUGCAUGAGUUCCAACCGCAAUGCGUCAUGAACCCUCCUGUCGCCCAAUGACUCAGAAUCUCUAAUUGGGGUGCCCAAUCUCUUAUUACCAACCCUUGAUUGCCAAUUAAGUUGCUAUAACCCUCUGGCAGAUUUGAUUUUCGAAUCUCAUUGACAUCGAACACGUCGCCCUUGUCCGCAUCUCGAAGGACCCAAAUGAAUUUUUGAUCACUUCUUGCUAACCCAAUUGCUAUUUCUUUUAUUUGUUCGUCUGUCAUUGCUGUAGUUGUCCCAAAUGAGAUGUAGAUCACUGAUCUUGGCUCUUGUUGGUCCAGCCAUGCCAUGCAGCUAUGGCUACAAGAUGACUGUUUGUUGUUGCCCCCAUUCUUGGAAUAAAGGAAAAAUUAAAUCAAUUAACAAACAAACCAUCUAACAAAAAAAAAAAAAAAAACUAAAUUAAAUUAUUCCAUGUAUAUUUAUCCUUGUCUCAUUGAUAAUCUUUUAUUAAAAUGAUAUUUUCACAAAAUCAAAUUUUAAUUGAGAUAACCUGCUUAAGCUUUGUUCACAUUUAGAUUGUGUUUAAUAAACAUUUCAUUAUUUGUAUUUUGUUUUUUAAAGUUAAAUCUGAUUUCUUAUCCUGAUUUGAAGAUUAUUAAGUACAAUAAUUAAAAUUUUAAAUAUAUUUAAAAGGAACAAAAAUAAAUAAAAACAUUUUUAGUUGAAAGUUUAAGUUGAGAUUAGUAAAGGAUAAAAGAUAAAUAAGAAAAUAAGAAAUUGAGAGUUAGAAUAAAUACGUAAAGGUUUAAUUUUUAAAAUAAUAAAAUUAUUUAUUUUAAGUUGGGUUCAGCUAUUUUUGCAAUUCGAGCCAGGCACACACCCAAAAAGGCCAAAAUGUGAAAUAUAUAAAAUUUUCAUGGGAAACUUCGGUUGGGCCACCUAGUUUGACGGGAAAAUAUGGAUAUACACGAGGAGGAAAAAAACACUUAUUUAUUCACAUACUCAAUAUUUGGAUCCACCGAAUAUAUGAUUUGUAUACACACACUCCCGCAUUUGAUCUCAAAAUUAAUAAGGAAAAUGAGUUAUUUUGAAUUAGGUGUUGAAAAACCAAAACAAAACGAACCUUGGAGAUUUUGAGAGGGUUGAAAGGACCCAAAGCCCAAUGACGAAACUCAGGUUCAAUCCUUUGAAUCACCUCUAAAAACUCUCCUUCAAUAACUCUACAAGUGUUAUAAAUUUUUCCAGCUCCCAUUUUUGGGAGAUGACGAAACUGAGAUCCAAUGAACUCCAAAAAUUCUGGUGGAAAACAUUGUUCCAUCGAUACUACAUUCAGUUCUUUAGGAAAAUAUUGUUGGUAAGUGGGUGUUGUUAUUUCACCAUCUUUGUAUCCGUCGUUUACAAACAGCUCUUUACGCUCCAAGCUAUGAGCAACGGUGAAGGCGGAUACAGAGUGAAAGCAAUAGGAUUCAGUGUUGGGAAUGGCGUUGACAUCUUGUAGGGCAGACGACAUUAGUGAGUCGUGGAUGACGACAAGUCGUCUCACUUUAGAUGAGAGAGUGCGUAGGAAGGCAGCGAGGGGGCGUUGGAGAUGGAGAGCAGCAGCAAUGAAUGAGGGGAUGAGAUGGGAAGGAAAUCUAUGUGAUGCAGUAGGAUUGGGAGGAGGAGAGGGAAAUGGAGGGAUAUCAAAGUCGUGGAAUUGAAUUAAUGGGUGGCUAUUGUUGUCAUGAACACGACGAAGUUGGACUUGGCGAUUGUGGGUGGGAGUGCCAAGGAAGUGGACUGGGAUGUGGAAGGUGGAGAUGAGGUGGGAGAGGUGGAGUAGUUGGUUCAAGUGACCUUGUGCAGGUAAAGGAACCAUAACAACCACUAUAGGAAGGUCGUUUGAAUUUUUAACCACUUUGUUGGACAGCAUGACAUGGUUUUCACUAUUCAUUGUAUAACAAAAAGAUGAGAGAUAGGCUUCGCGUUUUACUCUUUUCUAAGUGUUUCAGUGUGAUGAUAGCAAGGAAUCCAAGAACAAGUUUGUAUAUUUAUAUAUAUUUGCCCCCACAUCAAAAUUUCAUUGUGUUUUCUUAUGGUCCACCAUGUAUAUUUAAAUAUUGAAUAACUAAAAUUGGCCGCGCUUCUUUUUUUUUUUUUUACUUAUUAUUAUUAUUAUUUAAAUUAUCAAUAAUUCCUCGGGUAGUAUCUGUUAAGAAUUUUGUACAAAUUUCAAUUUGGGAGUCUUCUAACUCUAUCAAUUUAUGCUCUUCAUGAUAUUAUAUUUCAUAUUUCGUCAAACAAAAAUUGUAUGACACAUAUAAUUUUAUAUAUUAGACUAUAGGGAACAAUUUGGACUCUUAGAUAUAAUUUUAUUUUUAAAAUCAUUCUAGUAAUAGUUUAUUUCCUUAAUUUAACAGCUGAAGAGACGUACACGUUAGAAUUGAAGCAUUAAUGGGUUUUAAUUAAGAUCAUCUAAUUUAAACUAUAUAAAAGGAGCUAAGGCAAAAAACAUAUUCAUUUCUCUUUUGCUCCUAUUACUAUUUUGUUAUAAGGUUGUUUGAUGUAAUUUUAUAUCUAAAUUAUUAAAUAAAAUUAAACAAAAAAAAGUUACCAAACUUGUUAAUUUUUUUAAAAUAUUUUAAAUUUGUCAUUUAUUUUCAUCAUCUUUUUUCUACUUCUUUUGUAAAUUUUUUUUCAUCAUUUGUUUCUCCUCCAUUUUUUUUUAAAAAUAUUUUGGUUUGCCUUACUUUUUAUAUUCUUUCUUAUAUAGUUUUUCUUUUACUUUUCAUUUUUAAGAUAGUUUGUUUGGUGAAAAAAUAGGUGAAAUAUUAAAUAGUUAAAUCUAAACGAUCAAAUCUACUAAAUAUAAACUAUUCUUAUCAAAAAAAAUUGAAAAAAUAUAUGUAAUUUCUUUUUAAAAAAUAGCAAUAUAUUUACUCUUUUUUCUUCUUUAUGUAUUCACUUGAAUUUUUUUUAAAGAUGUGAAACUAUAUCUAUUAGUAUAUAUAUAUCUAAUCUAAACUAAACUAUAUAAAAGAGUGUUAAGUGAAAAACACAUCCGGGUGAAAUAUUCGUUAUAAGACUAUUUGGAGUAAUUUUAUAUUUUAAUUAUUAAAUUAAUUUUUUUUAAAAAAACAUCACGUAAAAGAAUAAAAAAAUCUUCACGAAAGAAACAAAAAAAAAAAUAUAUAUAUAUAUAUACUAUUUAUAUCUACAAAAAAUUAUCUUAAAAAAUCACAUAGUAUCCUAUAAUUCUACCAUUAUAUAAAUUGAAGGGGUACGAAAACAAAAAGAUUCUUGAUGUAAAAGUAAAAGAAAAAACUAUUUUCUAAAAAAAGAACUGUACCAUUGAAAAUCAAACAGAGUUUUGAAAAAAAAAUGACUUACUAUAUAUCUAAAUCUAAAAUAGUUUAUAAUUGUUUCUAUAUUUUAGUUAUCAUAUAACACCUACAAAUUAAGUAAUUUAAAAAUUAAACAUAUGGAGGUUAUAAUUUGCAUACAUAUAUCUCAUUAGAAAAAUCUUCUCUAUCAUAACCAAUACAAAAAAGUUAGCAUUUAAUUAUUAACUAAUUAAUAUAAAAUAGCCUAAUUUUUCAAAAAUAUAACCGAACACCAAAAUAUUUAUGACAUCUGUAACAAAAUAAAAAAGUUCGUGGUGUUUUCAUCAAUUUCAGGCUCUCAAAUAUUGCAAGACGAUUUUUUAUUCUUUUUUCUUUUCUUUGUAAUUUAUUCAUAUCAUCUUCAUAUUAUACUACUUCUUCUUCCUUUUUUAUUUGUUAUUGUUCGUGAUUUCUUCAUUUUCUCUUCUAAAAUUUAUUCCUUAUUUGAUUUUUCACUUAUUCAAAUUUCCACUUAGUAAAAGAUCUUCAUCAUCUCUCAUAUAUUUUCUCUUCCAGACCUAAACGAUCAUCUAUCAAGAUCUAAAUGAUAUUAGUAUAAGAUCUUGUACCAAAUAUAAAAUAUCAUGGUACAUGAUCGUGAACCAAAAUCGUUUAGAUUUUGUCCACGAUAUCAUUUAUCUCUUGGUACACGAUUGUGUACAAAUUCUAAAUGAUAUUGGUACAAGAUCUUGUACGAAACAUAAAAGAUUUUUGGUACACCAAUUGUGAACCAAGAUUGUUUAGAUUUUAUACAUGAUCGUGUACCAAUAGUUAAACAAUCUUAGUUCACAAUCGUUUAGAAGAAGAAUGACGCGCCUAUGGUCGGUGUGUUGGUACUACUUCCACGAUCAUAUAUCAUUUUCUAUACGAUCGUGUGUUAUUUCCUAUACAAUUGUGUAUCAUGAUCAUUUAGAAGAAGAAUUACACACAUGUGUGUGGUCGAUUAAUCGCUUGUUGACUAUGACAUUUUUUUGUAUUUCACAUCGUAGGUAUGAAAACUUAUUUCGUUUUCGAAAUUAUUUUUAAAUAUUUUGCCAAUUUAUUAUAUUUUUUUUUAAAAAUUCCUAGAAACUAUAUUAGUACACAAUAAUAUUUGAAAUUAAUUAGGUAAAUAAAAACCAAUAUUAUUUUAGCCAUUACACCAUUAUUAAAAUUUUAUUUUGGAGACAAAUAUUUUGAAUUAAAGAUUAUUAGUUUUCUCAGGACAAUUAAGUUAUUAGUUAUAUAACUAUAUUCACAAAUUUAAAUAAAAAAAUUAAAUAAUUAUACAUUUUUUCAAUCUAUAAUACCAUACUUAACUUAUACACAUAUUUUUAAAAAAUUUGUUAUGGUUUUAUGGAUAUCCACGCUAACUUUAUUAUCAUUGGAAAGAUUAAAUUUAUUUUUCUUUCGAAAAUAUUGAUUAUUAUUUUAUUCUUUAAUUUUUAAGAUAUUGGUUUUUAUGGUUUUUUAAUUAUUUUUAAAUUUUCACUUUAUAUUAGAGGUGUAUUAUUAAAAUUUUAUAUUUAAUUAUUUUUUAAAACUUUACCAAACAGGUUCAACGCAUUAUAUUAAUCCAUUUAUGACUUGGUUUGGAACAAUUACCAGGCUUGGAAUUUAGAGAAGGGCGUAAUUGAUAAUGUUACAAUUAAGAUUUAAAUUGAUAUUAGUUUAAGGUUAAUUUUAAUUAACGUCCAACUCAGUAACAUAACCUUCCGAUUUCUGACUUUCAUCUUAGAGUGAAAGGUUUGAUCCUCAUCUUCACAAUCUUUGUACUAUUUUAAAUACACUUCGUAAAUAUUUUAGAAACUAUAACACUUCAAUCUCUUUUUAAAUAUGCCAUAGUUUGAAAAUUAACAUUUAAAAAUUUAAACCAAACCUACUAUAUUUAAUAAAUAUUUUAUUUUAUUGUAAUAUAUAUAGUUCUUGGUAUGAAUUGAAUUUACUUUUUAAUAGACAAACAUAAAGUUUAAAAAGUUGUUUUUAAAUGGUAAAACUAUGUAAAAUAUUUAUAAAUAUAACAAAUUUUAUAGUUUAUUAUAUUUAUAAAUAUUUUAAUUUAUUUUACUAUAUUUAAAAAAUCUCUAAAAUUUUUCAAAUAGGCCAAUUUAAAAAUAUAAGUAUUAAAAGUGAGAUGAUAUUUAAAAUUUUGAGGUUUAAAAAAACAAGAUGAAAUCAAUUUGAAACUUUAUGGGAGAAAGUGUGACAUUUAAAAAGUCUAUGGAUUAAAAUAUUAUUGUUAGUUUAAAAAUAGGUUGGUUUAUUGAAUCUAUGAUUCUUAGAUAUAUUAUUACAAAAUGAGACACCUCUUAGAUGGUGGAUGGAAUGUUUAAUCUUUUUCUUUUUUUUUUAGUUUAAGAUUUACCUACUUCUACUAAUGCAAAUAAAACGGAUUAUUAUUUUGUAAAAUAUUUAAUUAAUUCAGCCAGAAUUUACUUCAACAAUUUGAUGGGUUUGAUGUAGACUUCAUAAUAUCGUCCCUGAAAUAAAUAUUAGGUUAAAAUAUUUUUAAUUACUUAAUUUAGUCUUGAUAAUACUUUCAAUAAAUGAAAAUUAUUAUAAACGAAAAUGAAGGAAAAAUAUCAAACUUUAAUUUUUUUAUAUAUUUUAUAAAUAGUUUCAAUAUUUUACUAUUCCAUAAAUCUUAAAUUUAGUUGGAUAAUGUUUGGAAUGAUAUGGAAAAAUAUAGAGAUUGAAAAAUGAGGAAAUUGCUUAUUUAAAAAUGUGGUAAAAUAAAUAUUAUAUAUGAAUGAUUAACAAUUACCACACGGAACAUCCGUAAAAAUGAUUAAUAAUGUUGAAGAAGAAUAAAUGUUAGAUAAAUUAAUAAAUAUUUAAAUUUAGCCAACACAGUCCAAAUCAAUGUGGCAUUAGUAUGUUAAACAAUUUUUGAUAUUGAAAAGAUUAAACAAAAUUUUAAAAUUGACUAUGAUUAUUAAAUGAAUGAAUUUAUUUAUGGUUCACCAUUUUUAGAGUUACAUUUGCAUACGAUUGUAAGAUGGAGGAUAUGGCAAUUACAUAUGAAUUAUUUACAUUUUCUUUCUCAUCUUAUGAAGGUCACCUUGUUAAUUAUCAUUUUUGUUUUUCUUUCAAAUCUUAUCCAUUGGCAACGUCAUUUCUAACAAUAUAUAACACUCAAUCAAGAUGAACAAAACUAUAAUAUUUUGAAUAGUAAGUUCUAAAAGAAUGGUAUAUUUUUUUGUAAUAAUUAUUAUAGAAACCAAAAUAAUUGAUUUAUUUUUUUGGGGGUGCAAGAUAAAUGGAAACCCAUAUUGGUUGGAUGGAAAGGGUAAAUUUGAAGGUUGUGCUUUGAAAAAAGCAACAUGUUAUCCAGCCGUAAUAUUUGGGGAAUAACGAAAGCUCUCUUGUGGAAUACGCCGACCCUCACCUUUUCACUUCUAUGAUGUCACCCAUAUCAAUCUUUUAUACAUGUAUACAAAACAUUUUUUUUUCAAAUACUAAAAUAAAUUAAAUUAUUUAGAGGGCGUUUGGAUUGAUUUUGAAAAAUAAAAGUUUGUUUAAUAAUACAUUUUUUAAAAAUACUUUUCACUAAAAUGAGUUUAAAAUCUAAACACAUACAUAUUUGAUUAAAUGUGUUUAGUUUGUUAUAUACUAAUAAUGUUUUAUUUGUACAUUAAAUUACCAUAAAAUGCUAUUAACCAUUAUUAAUUAAUUUCAUAACAAAAUACACACAUUUCAAAAAUACUUUUUAAAAUUAAUUGCACGUUAUUUUGAAUUGUUAAUUUUUUAAAUACUUGAAACUAAAUAUUAAUUUCAUUAUUAUUAUUAUUUUAGACAAUUCAAUUUUAAAAGCACAAAUAUUUUGAAAUGUAAAUACAUACCUACAUAAAAAAUUAAUUGAUUUCCAACAACAAAAUAUAAAUAAGAUAAGUAAUGUUCUUAAUUCAUUUUAAUUUCAUGAACCGAACCAUCAUGUUCUUCAUUGACGUUCUCAUGAUUUCUUUCACAGAUGUUAAGGCGAAGUAGAUUUGGUUGAAAGAGAAACAUUUGGAAAUUAAAUCUCUAUAUUUAAAUGUAUAUAAACACAAAUUGAAUAAAUAUUCAAAGUAUUUAAAGAAAAAAGCGACCAAGUGAAAAAUAGAUAGUAAAAAAGAAUAAAAAAAUAGGGAGAAAAAAUACAUAUUUGGAAGAAAUUUCUCAUUAAACACCACAUAAACAUUUAUUCUAAAAUCUAGAUGAUUGUAUUUUUUCUAAAAUGAUUUAUUUCAUCAUUUGUAUUUUGGAUAAAGAAUACCUUAAAUUUUCAAAAGUUUAAAAAUUAUUUUUAAUUUUUUUUUAAAGUUUUAAAAAAUAUCUUAUCUUUAGUUUUUUAUGGAAAUUUUUGUUUCAAAAAUGUCCUUAAACUAUUGAAAAGUUUCAUAAAUACAUUGAGCUUAGAAAAAGUUAAAAAACACUCUAUCCAAAUUUUACACUAAUUUUCUCACCAACAAAAAUUUUAAGUUAAAACCAUAGUUUUAAAUUUAUUUGACUAUCAACACUUAUGAUAGGUCACGAACACAACCAAUCUCAAUAGUUAUUGUUGUAAUUAACGCGCAGUUAAUUAUCAAACAAAAAAUGUAUUUGAUUAUUACACAAAGUGGUAGUCUGAUAGAUCUAACAAUGUUAGCACCAACAGAUUUAGCAUAGAUCCAACUCCUCGACUCUUUGCUCCUUUUAUUACAAAUAUAAAAAAAACAAAAAUAGUACUAAUUUCAAAAGUUAGUCUAAUCGUAAAACUAUCUUUCCGUCCAUUUGGUCCAAUUCAAACCCUAAUUUUAAUUAUAAUGGAUAUUUCUUGAAAAAUUAUAAGAACGGAAAAUUAUAAAAAUAAAUUUGCAAUAGUAAAUGAAUAUUUUAUUGUUUUUAAAUAAUUAAACAUGUGUAUUAUUUAUAUUAUAUUUAUAUUAAUGUUAUUUUGAAGUUUAUUUUUUAUUAAUAAAUUUUGGGUAAUUACAACAAGUAGCAAUUGUUAGAUUAAUUAUUAAAUAUGUAGCAAUAUUUUAAAAAAGUUAUAACUAUAGCAAAGUUUAUUGGUGAUAAACUUCUAUUGUUGAUAAAAACUUAUGAUUUAUGAGUGAUAGACCAAUAUUUGCUAAUGGUCUAUCAGUGAUAGAUUCUUAUCAUGGAUAUAUUUUAACAAAUCUUGCUAUAUUUACAACUUUUUAAAAAUGAUGCUAUAUAAUUAAUUAUUUUGAAUUUAAUUACUAUAUUUACAACUAUCCUGUGUUUUUCUACGAUGUAAUGAAAUUAUCAAUUCACCUCUUUUAUCGAUAUCUAACCCGUGAAAAUGUGAAAAUAUUAAUAGAUAUAUUGACAUAUCGAUGUAAAUUUAAACUAUAGUUUUAAUUUAAAAUUUUGGUUUUUAUUUUCGAUCUUAAUAAAUUUGGUGUAAAAAUUGAAUUAAUGAGACUAAUUUUUAAUUAAUUUUUUUUAGUUUAAAGGUAUUUAUAGAAUUUUUCGAUACUUAGGCGUAUUUUUUAAAUGAAACAUUAGCAGUUUCUAUUCAAAACUAACUGUAAAGAUGUUUUUGAACCAUUUUCGAAAGUUUAAAGAUAUUUUCGAAACUUUUGAAAGUUUAAAGAUACUUUGAUACAAACCAUAAAGUUAAAGAAGCGUUUUUGUAUGUGUGUAAUUUAGCCAUUUUGUUAUUUUGCACAUGAAAACUAUUGUCUUAAAAUUACGUCGGUUGCAGUUAACUCAACAUUCAUCUUGUUAAAAGUGGGUGUGGAAUGGAAUGAAUAGAGAAGCAAACUCACAAUCAAAACGAAACCACGUGAACCAGCGGAGGUUACUCUUUUAUGAAAAGAGGAAGAUGAAAAAUGUCUAGAUAUGAUAAAUUCAAUGCAAUUACUUUUCACAUCUCCAGGAACAAUGACAUAUGCUUUUAAAUUAAGUUAGCAACAUUGAAAUAAAAAGUAGAAAAAAGAGAUGGAAGAACUAUUUCUUUUCUUCAUGUGAGCACAGUUAUUUGAAGUUGUGUCUAGUUAGAUGUGCAACAUCAUGUUUGCAACGAGAGACAUGGUUACCACUCGAUAUACUAAUGAUGUAUUUAGAUUUUGUUUAAUUUUUUAAAAAAAACUAAAUUGUUUAGAAGUCACUUAAAAUAUAUUUUUAAUUUUAUUUUAAACAAUUUUUAUAAUUUAAACAAAAAUAAAUUUCUUAGAAAACAUUUUUUUUUAAAAAACUCAAUCGAGGACCCUUUUGAAGUCGACCCACCUCCUAACUAUUGUUCUUCUAAUUUUAGAACAAAAGGAAUCCUAUCCCAUGUGAAAGACUUACUAUGAGCAAUGAGUUGAAGUUGUUGUGAGGACUUGCUAUGGGCAAUAAGCCAAAGUAGUUGUGAGUCAUUCUUUAGCAUGUGCAUUGCACCUGAAAAUGUCGAAAUCUUAAUUUAAAAUUUUAAUAUAAUAUUUAACUGUCUUGAAAUACUCAAAUACAAAUAUAUGAAAAAAAAAUAUAAUGAAUAAAUAAUAUCAAUGACUCAUCUUGAAAAAUGGUAUCAUAUUGAUAUCAGUAGUACCUAUUAGACUCGAGAAACACUUAUACAUGAAGAGUUGUGACCUUGUCUAUUAAUAAUAAAUUAAGAAUUUAUAAAUAAGACAGAGACAAAAGAUGACAAAAGAUUAUCUUACUCUAUACACACACAUACCAGUAAACACACAUUUGUGUUGCCAAUGAUUUAAAACUAUAAAGUUUGAAGGUGUGCAACUUUUAUAGGGAAUGAAAUGCUCUUGUUAUUAGCUUAAAAUAACAAUAUUUAUUAUAAAUAAGUAAUAUGGUAUAGAUGUCCAUGUGACAUGUGUCUUAUUAUAAUUGUAGACACUCUUAGUGUCUAACAAGGUGACCUCCUUUAUGCAUGUGUCAAGUAACCAUGCACCGUUGGUGGUCAAGUGAUGUCACAUACUACUUGUCAAAUUGCCUAUAAAUAGUGACAUUUGGUGGAUUGGUAAGAUAUACAUAUAUUGGAGGAUUUUCCAAAGAAUUUGGAGGAAGUGGUAGAAAGUGAAAAAUAAUGAGAUUUCUUUUGAAUUAUCAUAAAUAGCAAAUUUGACAAAAUAUUUACAGCAUAUAGCAAAAUUUUAAGAUUUUAUCAACAAUAGACAUUGAUAGACACUAGUUUUCUUCUAUUAGUGACAUUGAUAGACAAUGAUAAAAGUCUAUUAGUUUAUGUCAUUAAUAGAAAAUUAAAUUUUGCUAUAACUUUAAAUAUUUUGAUUAUUUUGCUAUUUCUAAAGAUACCCCUUGCGUUUUCUUAAUUUUCAGAUUAUUUUCUUAUUUAUUUAUUUAUUUUAUUUAUAUAUUUUAUUUUAUUAUUUUAAUAUCAUAUUUUUUUUAUUUCCAUAUUUAGCUUGUUUCUUGAUUUUACAACAAUAAUCAUUAUUAUUUUUAAAAGUAAAAAAUAAAAAAAUGGAUAUAAUUAUUAAAAGGUUAAUUUAUAUAUAAAACACAAAACUAGCAAGUUAUAUUACGUCAAGACUAUUUUUCUACUUAUUCAAAUGAUACCAAGUGGACAUUCCUGCCUUCGUUUUCUUAAUACGAGUUAGAUACACUAUUUUAUCUUUCUCUUCACAUCGCCUUACAGAAUUUCUUUGUGUAAUUAGCCAAUUCUUACAUUUGUUAUUUUUUAAUUUUUCCAACUUGCCUAAAUGAAGAGUAGACCCCAGAACUAACAUCUAAAAAUAAUUCCUGUGCUCAACCCUAGAUCACCUAGGUAAACCUACUGUUUCACUUGCACUUAGACAAAUAGUAGAAAAACUUGUACUCAACGAGGACUUAAGAAUCACGCGAUGAAGAGGUACAUUGUGAGCACCUCAUAUGCUAUGAUCAUACCCUAUGACCCAUCGCUGCAAAUGAAGCACGCUCUACAGAGAGUUAUGGUAAGGGCAAUACACGCAAUGACCUGACUCAGUGAUGUAUUGCAAGUGCAUUAAUUACAAUUGAAACUCUCAAGUCCUAGCACUGAAUUUACUUAACCACUUGGCAAGAAGGCUUGUUUAGAGAUUAGUUAUGUGUUUGGAGGUUAACGUUAAGGCUAGAGAGUUUAGUUUGGCAUUUUGGCAUAUCCUAGAUACUUUUGCUUUUUGGUUUGGCAAGAUGAGGAAGAGGUAGAGUUGGUCAUAUGGAUUCGAGGUGUCCUUGCAUGCUUAAUUUAAAUUUUAGUUGAAGGAGGUGGCAAUAAAGUUUCAUUUAGAUCUCAAUAUAAAUAGGUCACUUGGGAUGAACAUUUCUUCCAAACCACCCGUACAUUUUGGCUGCAAUUAGUCUUAAAAAAAAAAAAAAAAAACAAAGUCUAUUUUCUAAGUUGGGGCUACUAAACAAAUUUGAGAAAGGGAAGUGUGAGUUUGAGUUCAUUUGACUUAUGUAUUUUAUGUUAUAAAGCUUUAAAGUGGAGUAAGGUUCUGGCCGAAUUAUGAGUUUUUGAGCACUAGAGGUUGUUGGUCGAGUGUCAGUGGUUUCUUCAAAUGCUGGGGGUGAAUUUUGGACUCCAAGAGGUUUUUGAGGCGUUUUGGGCCUGUGUUGGACAUAUAGGAAGCGUGAGAUUCUGCGCACGCUGGUAAGGUCUCUUAUGAGGUUAGCAUGCGAUCGACCUGCCAAGGCAUGAGCACAUGUGCAACCUCUGUUGCUCACCCUUGUGCGCCGCCAUGUCAAGUUGGUGUUUAUGGGCUGUUUUUAUCUUUAAAAAAAUUUAAGUAAAGUUUGGAUGUUUUUAGGGUAAAAGAGAAUUAAUUGGAAUUAUUUUUCAUUAUUCCAGGACAAGAAGGAAUCAAAUAAGUUUAUCGACCAAGGGUUUGAAUUACUAUUUGUGAGUGAUAAAAUGAGAUUAAGUUGAUUUCUAAAUUUGAUUAUGUGUCAAAUGUUCAUAGAAAAUUUGAUGAUUUAAUGUUGAGUUUACCUUACUAAUUUAUAAGAAUAUUUCAGAAAGUAUUAAAGUAUGCUAUUUAGAGAUGAUUCCAAAGCAUAUAAUGUAUUUAUUCUAAAGUUUAUUGAUGUUUGCAAAGCCAUGAUUUACGCGCAUCAUUUCAGUUCUGAAAUUGAAAUGUUAUUGCAAUAGAAAGUUGUUUAAAAGCAUGAGUUAAAAAAGAAUGAUUUUAAAGAGAAAAUCAUAGUACUCUAUAUACCAAGUUCUCGAUUGUCAAUGUGCACAAUUAGGGGUAUAGGGUUACGCUGACCACUUAGCCAUUACCACUGAGUUUAGGCAGGAUAGUAAGACUAAAGGUGCCCUGAUAUCUUAACCGAUUUUAUUAUAAAUAGCAUGACCAAAGGUGCUCUGCUAGUUUGAUCAAGUUUUGACAGGAUAAUAAGACUGAAUGUGCUUUACUAUUUUGACUAAGUUUUGUCUAGGUAUAGAGUAUACACAGAUAAAAGAGUUUUAAGUAUGUUUUUUAAAAUGUAUUUUAUAAAACCAUCACUUACUGGGCUAUUUAGCUCACCAUUUCCAAAUUUUUUUCCACUUUCCAAGAAGAAACCGUGAUCUAAAAAUCUGACUGCUGUCUUCAAAUAUGUUGUGUGAAGUUAUAGAUAAAGUUACUUAUUUUGUGUACAUAGGUUUUGUUAAGGGUAUAAGUUCAGUUAUAGUUUUUGUUUGGUUCUAAAAAAGAAUAGUCUGUAUGUAAUGACAUUUAGCCUAAAAUUGUUUUGUUCUAAUGUUAAAAGUUAUGUUAGUUUUGUACUUGUAUUUUCCCGUUGAGUAAUUCUUAAAUUACUUAAGAUGUUUAGCAUUGAAAAAAAUAAGUAGUCAAGGUCAACUGGUGUUGUUUAGAGAAGGAAAACGACGUAGGUCGGUUUCAUGCCACAUCUCAAACCGAACAAGUAGGUACUCGAGGUGGGAUGUGAGACUUUUACUCUAAUAAGGGAUAUGUCGAAACCAUCAAUUAACGAAUUCAGAUAUGAAAUCGUGACCAAAUUCCUUGACAUGACAUGGGUCAUUACAUUAAUACUCACAUAACUAUUGAGAUGAGAGUUUUAUUUAUUUGUUUGUUGUACAUCAAUUAAUGUGAGUGGGGUCUAACAAGAUUUCUUUCCAUCUCAAAUGAAAAUUAUGGGAUUCUAUUGCCAAUUAAUAAUAGAAGAAAAGUAUAUUAUUGUCUAAAAAAGAAAUCAGGGAAGAAAAUGAGUGCUUGUUCUUGUAUGAACCAAAUAGGAUCUAAUUUACAAUAAUUGGUCUUCAUUUCCUCUUUUAUCACAUUAACAACAAAUUAAAGUUGUUAUGAUAGUGUAUGUUUGUAUAAUUUUAUGAAAAGGGAAUAAAGUAUAUUAUUAAAUAAUAGAAAAUUAUUAUGUGAUUGCUGAGAACAUUGCCCAUGUGAUAUUUGGGAUCUUUCUCAAUUUCCUCCUACUCUUUCAACUUCUUUCUAAACUUACAUAUCUUCCAUAUUACCAAUUUUUGUUUGGAAAUGUCUAUAAGGUAAAAAAGUGAAGGCACAAUUAUUUAACUUUACUUUUCAACACAUAUACUAUUAAAGUAUUAAUAAUAAUAAAAAAAAAAGGCAACAUUAAGUUUAGUUAUGCUUUUGCCGAACCAAUCAUGGAUAUAACUAAUCGAUUUAGUUAACUUAACUACCCAUGUAGUUAGGGGGUGAUUUCGAAAAAAGAAAAGAAUAUAUAUAUAUAUAUAUAUAUAUAUAUAAUCUACCAAUAGUCAAGGGUUUAAAGUGAAAGAUUUAAAUUAGGGUAUUUGAAGAAAUAGUAAAAAAAAAAUUAUGAUAAAAAGGUAUAUGUCACUCCAUUUUCUAAAUUGGAAAAGUAGAAAAUUUAAAAAUCAAUAAUUCUCUGAUAGUCCUUUAAUAACCGUCUGAUAUUCGAUGUCAGUAAUUACUUGUUAUAUUUGUCAUGUUCUCAAUAUGCAAAAAAGAGGUAUCAUAGACUUUUUUUUUCUAAAUGUUUUUGUCAUAUAUUGCAAUUUUUCUUUAAAUAAUUUGGUUAACUUGACUACAAAUAUAGAAGGACGUAAAAUUGAGUAUAACCAAAAUUUUAAAUCUUGUUUUUUUUUUGUCUAACGACUUACAUCAUUAAUUGCUAUGUAUCAUUAAUUGCUAUGUAUCUACAUAUUAACAUGGGUCUUUUAAAAUAUAUAACAAACCGACAAAAUAUUUAUAUCCUACGGAACAACUUCAAAAACUGAAAAAGCCUAACAUGAAAAAUACCAAAAAUGUCAUACAAUUAAUGGACAUCCAACGCGUAAUAUAUUUGGGAAACCAUUGUUUAGAUUUGACUAUUCUUUUCUAGACGAGCCAAAUCUAAAUGAUUUAUUUUUUUUCAAGAUUCUUUGUACAGGAUCACUUAAUUUAGAUUUGACAAACGAUCGUUUAGAUUUGACACAAUUGUUUAGAUUUGAUCGUUUAAAUUUGAUAUCCAAAUCUCAAUGAUUUUUUUAAAAAUUCUUUGCUACACGAUCGUUUAGAUUUGACACAUGGUCGUUUAAAUUUAUAUAGCCAAAUCUCAACGAUUUUUUUUCAAAAGUGUUUGGUACACGAUCGUUUAGAUCAUUAUCAUUUAUAUUCUGCCAACGAUCGUUUAGAUUUGGCUAUUUUUUAUACGUGAUCGUUUACAUUUGACAAUCCAAUAUUUCAACGAUUUUUUUUCACGAUCUUUUAUAUUUAACAACCAAAUAACAAUUUGAAAAGAAAAUUGCAGAAGAAGAGAAAAAGACAAUGGAAAAGAAAAGAAAAAUUCCAAAAAAAAGAAUGUGAAAGGAAUGACAAAAAAAUAUAUUUUUAAAAAAAUGUAGAAGAAGAGAAAAAGAGGAUUGAAAGAAAAAAAUUGGAGAAGAAAAGAAAAGCACGACGGAAAGAAGAGAAAAGCUCGAUGGAAAAAAUUUCAAAGGAAGAAAAGAAAAAAAAUCGUAAUAGAGAAGAGAAAAAAUACGAGGAUAAGUAAGAACAAACUUAAAUUUUAUUAAACAAAUGAUCAGUUUUAUUAACAUUUUCAUUUUGUUACCAGAGCCAUAAAUAUUUUUUUGGAUUUGUUAGAGUUAAAAUUUCCAUAUUAACCUUGCCAGCUAAAUUCUUGUAUACUAGACAAAUUCUUUACAUAAUAUUUUCAUUUAUUUAUAUAACAAUUUUGCGAGUGAAUUUAUUGAUUUAAUCACCUCCUAACAAUCAUGUUAAUCAUCUUUUAAAAAACAUAAUAAAUAAUAAAUAAUUUACCAAAAUAUUUACCAAAAUGUCAAAACAAAACAUUUGUUAUUUAAAAUAAUUUUCAUAAUGUACAUAUUUAAAUUAUAGAAAAUUAUUUUUGUAGUUGUUCAUAAUUUUGGCUACGUGACUUAAACUUUAAGUCGUAUUCCUAUUUAGUUUUUAAAUUUUAAAAAUGUUUAAAUUCCUUCGACUUUUAAAGAUACUUUAGUUCCUACCAUUACAAAAUUAAUUGAGAACUCAAAAAUCGCUUUGUAUUUAAGAUUUUGAACUUUUAUUAUUUUUAUUCAUUGGUUGUUGUUGGUUGUUGGUAUUUUACUUUUGUUCCCUCGAGUUAAGUGUGAUGUAUAUUUUUUUUCUUUUUGAUGAACUAACUUCCAUAUUCAUUGAACUCAUAUGUUACGUUAUUCAUUCUUUUAGAGUUUAUUUUUUAUAUGAUCUACUGAAAAUUGAUUUGAUUGGCUUGAAUGUUUCAAUUUUUUUAAUUUCUUUACGAAAAAAAUAUGUGAAAAUAACGGAGGAGAAUGAAGGAAAUAAGUAAUACUUAAAACGUAUAUAUGUAUGUGUGAAUUAAAAUACAUAGCUUUUUCUGAUGUUGAUUAAGUUGGUUUGCUUCACAUAUAGUAUAUAUAGUUAACAUGAUUAUUUGCAUUUUAAAUUUAGAAAGGAAAGCAAAUGUAUUUAAAAGUGUAAGAAUAAAAAAUAACUUAAAAAACAACGUACACUCGUAUUUAGCAAUAUUUGUUAAAAAUGCAUAGAAAAGAUGCAACUUUUUGUAUCUAAAUGAGAGAGACACACACACACAUAUAUAUAAAGAAGGCCAUGGUUAGGUGUCGACAACAGAACGUUACAAGAACGGCCCAGAAAAGAAUCAUGAGGGCUCACAAAAGACAACACGUCCAAAAUAGGUCGAGGUGAAUGAUGUGAUUGAUUUCACUAAUUUCGGCCAUUCUUUAUUUCAUGUGUUUUGUAAUUCAUUAGAAGUCGGCAGAAGUAUGCUUUCAGAACCACAUUACAAGGACGGCCUCAAAAGAUAUAAAAUCAAAAGAGAAUUGGAGAAUCCCAUGUUUUCUCUUCUUCUUCCUUCUUUUUGUUUUAUCAUCUAUUUUGUUUUAUCAUCUAUUUUGUUUUCGUCUUAGUUAUAACCCAUUUAAGGAAAUUUUUAUUUUCAACUUUUUUUUCUUAAUUUAAUUUUUGCAACCAAUUAACUCAUAUUUACUCCUUUUUUACUAAAAAAUGUUCUACUCUGUCAUUUUCCUUUUUUACUGCUCUAUAAAUCGUAAUGAUUUUUAAUAACAGGUAAAUUUAUUUUGUAACUAUUGACUGUGACAGAUUAAUUACAAUCAUAUUCAUAUUGGUACUAAUAUAUCUAACAUCUCAUGUAAUUGUUUCAAAUACAAUCAAAUUUCUCAUUGCGUUUUUUAUUACCACUUUCAUUUUAGGUUAUAUAUUUUGUUUCGUUGUAAUUAUAGAACAUAGAACACAGUAAUUAAUUAAGAAGUAUGUUAAUGAAGUGAGUAUUGAUUUUUAAGUGCGUUAUAAAACGACUAUUACUUCAAUUUUAAAUCCUCAUAUAUUUAAAACACCUUCACUUGAGCUUUGAUGUGGUAAAUUUAGUUAAGUUCCUUUAUUGUUGAGAAUGAAAAAAGAGCAAGAGUGGGAAUCACACCUAUAGAAAUUUGUAUAACAAUUACAAUCUUUCACUUGACAUAAAUUUGUUUUAACUGAAAUUGAUCUCUGUCAUUUCUACCUUUACGUGUUUUCUUAUAACUGUCAUUCAUUUUCUUCUUAUUCUUACCAAAGACAUGGCAAGCAAUUUCGAAUAAGUAAUUGUUAUCACUCUAUUAAAGCUUAACUUGGUUCAAUAAAGCUUAACUUGGUUCAAUAAUUUAGAGGAAUAAUUUAGGAGAGGAUGUUGAAGUGUAAUACACUUAUGGAAUGAUAUUGCUUAUUUAUUCCUUUUUAAAUAUGAGUAUAAAUAUUUUUUUCAUAGAAAAUUAGAGCUUAUAUAUAUAUAUAGUGACCAAAAAUUAUAAAUUUACUUAUAUCUCAUCAAACAUUUAUUUGUUUGUUUUUUUAUUCAAACUCUCGUACACCAACUAUACCAAAUUUACUAGAAUAACUUUCAAUGCAACUAAUAUAAUAACAUGAACUCUUAAUUACCAUGUUUAAGAAUCAAUACAAUAUCUUCUAACCACCUCCCCAAAUGGAGAUGUCUUUUUAGUAAAAUCAAAUCACUUGCAAGUGAAAAGAAAAAUCAUAAUUGAUUCAACUUGAAUCAAAUAGUUUGGUUUACAGAGUGGGCCAAACCAAACCUCUUCCAACUCAAGCCAUAUACUUUUAUAGCCCUAGCUAGUCUCAUUUUGGUGAACAAAUUCCUUUUGAAUUCCUUUAGUUUUUUGUUUGAAUAUCACAUGUUCAUUUCUUAGUUCAAUGGUAUUAAAAUCACUAUCAAAUGAUGUCGACAUUGACAUUGAAGCUAGAGUUAGCAAGCUAAGAUGAUCUCUCUUCCAAUAGCUUUGGCAUGCCUGCUACUCCUUUUAGAAACAACAUCUUGGCUGCAAGUUGAAGAAAUCUCUCUUGAGAUAUGGUUACAAAUAUGGAUGGUAUCUAUGAUAUUUCUUGUGUAUUUAUCCAAAAAUAUGAGUUGAUCAAGAUAGGGAUGAUCAAUAUAUAACAACUUAUACUCUAUCUUCUUUUCCUUAAUACCUUUUGUUCUUAUCACAUAUCAAUCAAAUUUUAUUUUUAUUAUUACAUAUAUUUAUGAUAAAUAGUUCAUAGCACACUUUUUCAAGGUAGAACACAAAUCAUCGACUUUAAGAUUAUUGUUAUAAUAGUUUAUUUAUUUAUGUGAACUAUGUUCAAAUUCAUCGUUUCAAUAAUAUAUAUUUUGGUGAAGUGGAGGUCUAUUGAUGCAUUUGUUCAAUAUAUUUGUUGUUAUCCGAUAUUAUUAUUGGACUGCCAAUAUCUUAAAAAGAAAGAAGAAGAAAAUACUUACUAUCAUUUUUAACCUAAUUCUAAUGACUAAAUUUAACAUUAACAACAAAAAAAAGGUAGUUUAAGGAAGCUAAGAAAAAUAUCCACCAAGCUAAAAAAAAAUAAUCCACGAGAAUUCAAUCUGUAGAUGCAAACUUGAAGACGUCGGCACACAAGUUUGGAAUUACGACUUCAUACCAUUUGGAGCUUAUUUUGGUUUUUGAAAUUUCAAAAUAUCACAAACGUUUUUAAUAUAAUUGAAUUAUAUAUAUACGAAGGAUUGGUUAUGAAAAACAAGUGGAUCUAAUACAGAACAUAAUAUUAGACACGAUGUUGGGGAGAAUAUGUAGGAUAGGUGAACAAUCAUGAAAGCAAACAUAAAUAUAAAGAUACAAAUAUUGAUAACUCAAUUCGAUGAUGUCUCAUCCCUUCCCCGAUCAUUGUUUUAACUUAGAAAGAGGCAUGAAAAUUACUCAAUUAUUACUUUUUUUCAUCCUUUAAUUCUCUAACAUUUCCCUGCCUAACCUGAACCACAUCUAAGUAACAAUAAAACAUCUACUCAUUCGUACAUUCACAGUAAAAUUACAGCAGCAUAAUUUUGAACUUUCAUCCACAACUCAAAACUUACACUAGAAACCCUAAAACCAACUUAUAAUAUUUCUCACAUACAACACUUCAAUCAACACAAGCACCACCCCCCGUAUGAGUUCUUUAAAUUAAGUUACAUGCAACAUAAAGUUCCUAUCAUACCUGAGUUCUCACUACAAAAACAUUAGCUUUUAGUGUUAUAUAUAAAUAUAAAGUUGCUAAAGAAAAGCCACUAAAAUCAGUUAUUGUGUCACUAAAACUUGAUAACGAAAGACUAAUUUUAUUAAUAGUGUCUCAAAUAAUGUCCAACUUCAAGUAUGUAGGCAGAUUAAGAUCUCAGUAGGAACCUGGAACUAUUCUUCUGCCGUUGGAGGGAAAAGAAAAUAUUUUAAAUAAAGAGUGAACUGGGAAGGAUACUAAAUUUUAAAGUUCCAAAUCAGAUAAACAUUUAUAAAAAGUUUUGGAAAUAAAUCUUCAAAAUAAUUUAGGAAAACAAAUAUUAUAAACGGAAAUUGCAUAUAAUAGCAUUUUGUGAAUAUGAUAUAACAAAUAUAGUAAAUUGUUUUAGAAUUUUGCAAAUACGGCAAAUUUGUCACUUACAAAAACACUGUUAUUAUUUCUAAACUACCCUUCAAUAAAUUAUUUCUUCUCCUCUUUUAAUGUUCAUACUCAUUAUUUAUUUAUUCUCCCACCUUUUAAGACCCUAAUUAUUUGUUUAUCCUUAUACUAAAAAAAAUAUUUAGGGUAGUUGUAAUUGAUAGUCAUUUGUGGAAUAAUAAUUAAGGAUAUAGUAAUAUUUAAAAAAAUUGCAAAUAUAGCAAAACUAUCGUUGAUAGACUUGUAUAGUUGAUAGAUUCGUAUGAUCUAUCAGUGAUAGACCAAUAUAGCCUAUUGGUGAUAGACUUGUAUCAUUGAUAGAAUUUGACAAAUUAUGUUAUAUUUACAAAAAAUUUAAAAUGUUGAUAUAUGUUUAACAAUUUUGAAUCUAAUUGUUAAAUUUGCAACUAUCCCAAAUAUCUAUUCUUAAUUUCUGUCUUAAUCUUGAUUUUAGAAUAUGAAUAGUACAAUAAUGCAAUAUGAAAUUUAAUGGUUGUUGAUAAGAGAUUUAACUUCAUUUGUUUUUUUUUUUUUUUACUUUCUUCGAAGUGUAUUUUGAGUUGAAUAUCUGAUUCGAAAUGAUUUUAUUUUAUUUUUUUACAUUGAUUUUGUUUUGGUUUUACGCUUUGUCUCAGUUUUGUAUAUUAGUGUUGUGAUAUACUUAUAUUAUAUGUAUUUAUUAGUUAAUAUAUUUACUACGUGAUUUUUGUUUUUUCAAAAUUUAUGCAGUUCAUUAGUGUAUUAUUAAGUAUGUGAAUUAACUUAGUGUAUCAUUAUCAAGUAUAUCAACAAUAUAUUGUUAAAUCAUAUCAGUAAAUUGAAUCAUUAUCAAGUAUAUGAAUCAAGUUUACAAAUGUAUAUCAAUAGUAUAUCAAGUGUAUAAGUAGGACUCAAGCAUAUCAAGUGUAUUUAAUCAAUCAAAUGUAUAAGUGAAGAAUACUAAGUGUAUUUGUAGUGAAUCAGGUGUAUCAAACAUAUCAUGUACAUCAAAUGUAUAUCAAAUUUGUUGAGUUUACCAAUGAAGCAUAACAAAUUUAUUAGCGGUGUAUCAAACUUAUAAGUGAAGUCUUUAAGUGUAUCAAAUUAUCAAAACCUAAGGGGUAUCAAGUGUAUCAAGAAGAAUCAAGUGUAACGCAUUAUAAUGUGUAUCAAGAUGUUUCAAGUGUGUAUAAAAAUGUAUCGAGUGUAUCAAAGAGUAUUAGAUGAAUCAAUUGUAUCAAUCAAAUGUAUCAGGUGUGUUAAUCAAAUAUAUCAGGUGUAUCAUACGUGUAUAAGGUGUAUCAAGCGUAUAUUAGUAACAAGGACAUUUGUGAUAUUUUACCUAUUGAUGUGUGAGUUGAGCUUUGUUUUUGCCAUUUUCGAAAAUAAUAAAGUAUGUGUGCUAUGGACUUAAUUAUUUUAACUUAUUUUGCCAUUUUUUUGCAAAUGUCCCUAUUAUAAACAUCAUAGUAGUUUCUCAUAACAAAUUUGUAAGUGUUCAAAUCAUUUAGCUUGUAGCCAUACCUAACUUACCACGUAAAAAUACUAACACCAUGACCAAGCCCAACACACCCACAUUCACGUAGUUAAGAACACACGGUCGACUCAGCUUACACAAAUUUCACAACCAAGUAGCGGAAAAAACUAGGAUAAUUACUAUUAUGAUAAAAUAGUGAAAGAAACAACAACAAUGGAUGGAAGGAACCAAUAGUUAACAAUAAAGGAUAUAACACACAAAACAAUAAGUAGAGAGAGAAUUGAAACACAGAACAUUAGUAACCCAAUUCGAUGACACAACAUCUACGUUUGGGAGAUCCUUGACUCGAGAUCAAAGAUUUUAAUUCUUUGAUAUAUAAACCAUAAUCAACUUAUUAUGAGUCUGGGUACAGAGUCUCACACUAAACUUCUUCACUCAGUACUAUCAGUGAUACAAUAUUACAACAAGUAACACUAUCACUAAACUAUUUCAAAGAUAGAUUUGGCUAACCAAAAUCUCCCCCUUAAUCAAGUUUAUCGUCAACCAAUAGAUUCAGGUAGUAAAUAGAGGAACUCUCCCUGAAUCAUGUCCUUCAUCAAGACAUAAACAAAAAGAUCUUUUAAAUCAUCCUACUACAUAAGCUUGAACUUCGGAUAUUGUAAUCUUAGCCUAAACGAUAACUGAUACAAGUAUCAACAACAAAUCACAACAUUGAGAGAGGACUUACACGCUUUGGAUUUCAUGAAACUGGAUGUUCAAUGGCAAAGUCGUUCCUCACAAAAACUAUCUUCUUACACAGCAACAGCGUCUCUCUCAAUCUUGCAAAAUGAACAUACAGAAUAAUGUCCACACGCGUAUAACAAUCCCAACGAAAAAUCUUCAAUAAAUAAGGAAAUAAUCUUUUAAAAAAAGAAACCAAACAAAAUCUCUUUUCCAUCAUAAUAUUCUUCACAAUAUUUCCUUAAACAAAUGCUUUUUGCCACAACAACCAAGAAGACAAAACUGAGCAAAUAAAAUAUUCACGAGUCCACAAAUAUUCUAACAAACUAUCCCAUGGGACUAUCUUUCUCAAUUUGUUUAGACAUGCAUAUCAAAGAGCCAAUAAACAACCGAAGCACCAUGAAACAAGGAACUCAAAUGAUUUCAUAAAAGAAGUGUGACAAUUUCGUAACAACCUUGACAAAUCCCCACUACAACAAAAACUCUCUACUCUGAUAGUUAUUUAUAUCACAAAAUAGAGGAAGAAAAAAAAUUGUCAUAAAAGAAGAAAAAACGUGUUUUGACGGGAAAAUGCGAAAUUUUUCAGAUAAUACUUUUCAUAGAAAAAACCCUCAUUACUUUUGUGCCCGUCUCUUCACUCUAUUGGUCGGUUAGUUCUCAUCUCUGGACAAUGCCCAGUUCUGUCACUGCCAUCGUCCCCUCAUGCUCGUCUCUUCACUUCAGCGCCGUCGGAACCUCCUCUACUGAACGACAAAACGUCCUCUUCCUAAUUUGUUCAAUUCGUGCCCGUAAUCUCCAAUUUGUCACAAUCUCUUCAACAUUUAAUCAGCAGUCGUCACCUCCUCUACUGGCAAGUCGCCUAUUCCUUUUCUAUUUCUCUCUCUCUCUCUAUGAAGUUGUUCUCUGUUAGUUUUUCCCUCAACUCCAUGGGUCAUCUGUAAGGUGUGCAAUUUUCAAUUUUGUCUGAAUUUCAUCUUUUAGGCAAACAUUCGUACAUGAUGUAUGGGAUUUCUCAGGUUUUUCUUAUCUUGUUCUUGCCUAUUAUGAUAAUGGGUGAAAUGAGUUUUUCUUAUUUGUUUGCUUUCUUUAUAAUUUUGUUAUAGUUGUGGAUUUCAUUUUCUCGGUUGCUUAUGGAGUUGUGUUCAGUGAUGAAUUUGGUUUGUUUUCCCGUGUAUUUGAAGUGGAAUUUUAUAUAUAUGAAACACAAGAUCUUGAUGCUUUGUUUAUUCAUUUUGUGGAUACUGUGUUAAUCUUUUAUUUUAUUUGUUUAUUUGUUAUAAAUUGGAAUGAGAAUUAUAAGUUAUAGAAACUUUUGGUUCUAUAAUUUUUACAAUUUAGUUGGUUUAAUUAAUGAGAGAUGGGGUAGGAUAAGGUUUCUUCUCCAAUGUUUUUUAGAAUAAACUUUAUAUAUAUAUAUAUAUAUAUAAUGAUAAAAGUCAUUAUUCUAUUGAUCAAAUGAAAAAAUAUAAUAUUUGAAGUCAUAACAAAAAAAUAGAGGCAAAGUUGAUAUACCAAAAAGGGGUUACAGUUGAGAAUGAGAAACAAAUGAUUUUUUUUUUUUCAAUUUGUUAAAUGUGGAGGUGGAUUGUUUUUCUACUUUUCUUCCAAUUCUCAACUUGAUGAACUUCGAGGACGGUGAGAAAUUUUGAGUGGAUUGAAAACCUGAAAAAUAUUGCUAGAGUAGUUGGUAUUGAAAUUUAGAGGAUCAUUGGAAUUAUGAAGUAUUGUUUAGGAUACUUUUGAGAUUAAGCUGAAAACCAACGGUUAAGACUAAGAUUGAUGUUGAUUAAAAUACUUUCUCGGUAGAGUAGUUGAUGACAAUAUUGUGAAGUCUAAUAUGUUUCAUGUCAUAUAGUUUCCUACCGAGUAGCGACCCCGGCCCUAGUUUCCUACCGAGUAGCGACCCCGGCCCUCUCUUAAUAAUGUUUUAGAAAUUUCAAUAUUGAGUUGUGACCUCUCUCUUAAAACACGCUAAUUUCAGUGAUCCCCUCUCUUAAAACAUGAUAAUUUCAAUGUCGAAGUUUCUGCAAAAACUAAUAAAUUAAAAGCGCGAACUAUUAUUGUGUAGGCAUGCUUUGGUAGGUAUGCUAUGGACAUUAGCUCUCAACUCUCAACUCUCAUGCUUGUUUUUGUUUUUUUUUUUUUUUUUUUUAUGAGUUGAUUAGCUAUUUUGGAGAUAUACUUUUGUGUGUGUUUGUGUGUGUGGUGGUUUUUCUUGCCACAAUUUAAUCAAACUUAGCUCUCUAUAUAGUACUACUUUGUAUUAUGCAUAUCAAAUAAAUUAUUUCGGGACAAUAAUACUCUUCAACGUGCUGUAAAUUUGAUUGACAUUUAAGCUUUUUAAGGGUGGUAUAUUUAAGGAUUAUGUACCAUUUUGAAAGUUUAAAUUUUAAAAGUUGUUCAAAAUCUCUUUGUAAUCAAGUUUAUUUAGAAGUCAAUUUAGAAGAUUGGAUUUUUAUACAUUUACACGAUGAAUAAGUGAUGGAUGACGGAAAACAGUAUGUGAAGAGAAUACAAUUUAAAAAUUGAAAGGUUCAUUCAAUUUAGUUUGAGUGAUGCUAGAUGUUCUUUAAAUUAAUAAUAUAGUUUAUGAAUUAAUAAUAUAGUUGUCUUUCUUUGAAUUAAUACACUCUGCCUCAUAGUUAAACUAUAUAAUGGUGGGUUCUACACGUAAUAGGACUGUCAAUCACAUAAUUUAUCAAAACUGUACUUUACAAUUUCGAUAGUUUAUAAAUAUCUACUACGAAAAUUUUAAAAUUACUAAGUGGCUGUUCAACCUUCAAAUUUUUUAUAUCAAACUAAACUAAAUGAUUAGAAAGAAAGAAAAAACAAAUUUCUAACAUAUCUAAAACAAUUAAAGUAAAAUAUAAUAAAAUAAAUCAAAAUAUUUAUUAAUAUAAUAAUUUUAUAUUAAUUAUAAAUAUUGAUAGACUUCCUAAUAUCUUUCAUUUUUUAAUUAAGGUCUCCAGAGACUACUACUACAAACAAAGCUUUAACAGAGGUAAAUAAUAUUAGUUUUAUCAUGAGACUAGAAUCGAAAUAAAAAUACGUUCGGCUGCAUGGAAACCAUAAAUGAACUAAGUUUCUAGAGUCAGAACAGCAUAAUUCUUUAGUAGUAGUGGAAAGUUAAUGUGGAUAUAUAUAUAUAUAUAUAUAUAUAUAUCUAAAUAAAUUGUAUAUAAAGAAGAAGGAAAAGAAAAGCAAAUAGGUAGAGCUAGAAACGAAGUCUUCUCCUACAUGCUUCAAAUGGAGGGAUAGAAGAAGAAUGAAAGGAGGAAAAAGUUGAAGAAAAAUGCAUAAUAUCAGUGAGCAUCUCAUCAAUCAAGUCUCCGUAAAUGUGAUGUUGUAAAGCCAUACCUAUUUUUGCCAUCUCAUGUUUGAGUCCCCAUGAUAUUUCCUUUGAGAUUUCUUCCAAGCUCUCACCCAUCGCCUUACUUCUCCAUGUUAAUGGUUGAUCUUCAUCUUUUUCCUGCUGCUUCUUUUUUUUCUUCAUAUUGAUCUCCAUUAUUAUUCUUGAUGACGCCUUGGCUUCUAAGUGAUCAAUGCUACUCAUUUGCUGCAACUUCAUGAUCCGCUCCUGUAAUCUGGUAAUUGGGUUUAUGGAAGAUAUGGAGAUUAUUCUGUCCUCUUCAAUUAUUGCUGCUGGAUUCUUCUUCUUUGGCUCUUGCUUUGUUUCUUCUCCACCUGCCAAAGAACAAGUCAUCAUUCCAAACCCACCUUGCAUUAGUUUUUUACAUUAUCGGGUUUUUUUUUUUUUUUUUACUUUACAUGACAUCGAAACUUUUUAUAGAAAGGACAUCAUAAAAAAAGAAAACCAAAGAAGUAUAUUAGGAGAGACAAAAAUGAAAGGGAACUUCUAUCGUCCAAAAAAUGAAUUUUCCAAGAGCGUGCUCCAAAGCCUUGUGAGAUUGAUGGAUAUGGGAAAAGGAAAUAUCUCCAAAAUCUGCACCAUAUCACACUAAUCUCCACACGAUAACAAAAUAAUAAUAAUAAUAAUAAUAAUUCAGAAAUAUUGACUCACAUUUCCAUUUAUGAGUUUAAUCGCCUCAAAACAAUCAGAUUCAACCAAAAUUAGGUUGUAAAUUAAUUUUCAGUGCCUCAGCAAGUUGAACGGAAAGAGCUUUCACCUUAAAAACUUUGACAUCUCUAGCUACAAUUAAAAAUGUGUCGCAUUUAUAUAGAAUAGUAUCCCAAAUCAUCAACUCGAAUCACCCAUGCAUCAUUCUAGGUCCCAAAAAACUACUUAAACAGAGGUGUGUUCUCCACCCCUUGUAGGUUAGAAAAAGUUCUAAUUGAGCAAAGUGCCAAAGCAUUCUAUCGAACAAAUUUCUCCAUAUACUCUCUUCUCUAUUCCAGAUUCUAGUCUUAUUUUCCUUUUUGUGGCUUCAUCCAUGGAUAAUGAAAGUUAUAGUCCAAAUUUUUUUUAUAUCCAAAAGUGACUGAAGUUUGUGGGUACACUCACCAUAAGUGGGCAUGUUGACUAUAUUUGCAAUUUAGUAAAUAUAAUAACAUAGAUUCUAUUAUCAUAAAUAUUUUUGUUAUUUUUGCAAUCGCCGUUAUAUAUAUUAUCUAUAAAUGAGAGAGGCCACGAAACCAAUCAAGAGUACAUGUGUUUUGUUGAGAAAAAUCAUAAUCUCAUGUAAGUGAGAAGAAGAAAAGAAUAAUCUUAGUCCAAAAGCAAGGACCAUAGUUUAAUUAAUGUGAGAAUUUUGAGGAAUCAAAAUAAAACAAGACCGUUGGAAAUAUAGCUAGAUCUACUUUAACUUUUUGGUCUCAAAUAAGUUGAAAAUCUGAUCAAUGAAUUGAGGUUUAAAUACCUAAAUAAGUCCUCAGCCUUUUUUUUUUUUUUUCAUUUUCUCCAUGUACUUUCAAAUCAAUUCAUUUUAUUCCCUACAUGCUUACUUUCAAUUUUAGUUUUUCAACUAAAAUCACAUUCGAAAAUGAGAGAUAUCCUAAGGAUAAUGAAAAUACAUAUGGUUAAGAUAAAGAAAGACUUGGCUUAAAAGAAUUUUAUAUUAGGGAAAGGCCUCAAAAGUUUACUGAAAAGUAUGUGCAUCAUAAUAAAACAUGCUAAAAUAACAUGAUAGAGGAACUAAAAAAAAGUGACAACUAAUAAUAUGUAAGCUAUAAGCACACCAAAAGAUAAAGGGUUGAAGAGGGACUAAGAAACUUCAAUGCAGAAAGAAAAAAGAAAAAGAACAAAAAUAAAACAAAAAACAAAAAGCAGUUCAAAUUCUCAUGGUAAUAUAGAUUAGAGAUAUGGGUGGUGGGGAUAGGAUAAUUGGCUGACAGAUAUUGGCCAGUGGGAGUAGGAAGAGAAGCUUGUAAACAAUGGCUUUAGAAAAAGCCUGUGGUUGUGUUUACUGAGCAAGAAAAAGAAUUAAAGCCAUAUAUAUAUCUACUGCUUUCUUAUUUCUGAAAAAGUGAAAGAGCCUGUGGCUGUAUGUUCCCCCUAGACCUUUUUAAAACAAUAUAUGACUGGCUGAAUCAUUACAAGUCGUUGCUAGCUAUUUGUUUGUUCUAGGCUUGUGCGGAACAGUGGUCCACUUCAUCCAUUAUCACAUUUAUACUAAGGAUCCUUUGGUAUAAACGAUACUAAAGUGGAAAUGAGAAGAAAAGGAAGAAGAAAUUGGGGAUAAAAUAUUAACAAAAUAUAUAGUGGUGGAAGAGGAAUAAAAGUGACAUUUCGUAAAGAAUUCAACGACUAUCCUAAAUAAUUUCAUGUUGGACCUCGAAAUUCGAAAAGCAUUCUAUGUGAAUUGAGAAUAGAGGAGAAGUGAUCCUCAGUCUCUAUACUAAGCUCAAAAAAGUUAUCUGCAUGUUUGAAAUGAUUUUUCUUUCUUAGUGUUUAGAAUAUAUUUCUUUAAAGUAAAUAUUUUUCAGUACUUAAAAAUAGUUCCAAACAAUAAUCAUUCUAAAAUCUAAUCUAUCAUAUAUUCAUAUAAAUACAUCUACACAACGUGAGUAUAUACAUAAAUUUAAUUAAUGUUGAGUUUCUUUUUUAUUAUUAUAUUAUUUAAAUAUAUUUUACACUUUUAAGAAGCAUUACAUAGUUAAUCACUCAGCAACAUCAGUUUGUUGCCUCAAACUAACUCAAUACUAUCCUUUAGAAUUUUGGAUAAUCCUUUUAAGCAAGAGAAAAUAUGACUUAUAAUAAUUUGUAUUUAAAGUGGAAAGUAGUUGGGAGUUAAUGAAGGUAAGAGAUAGAAAUAGAAUAUAGAUAAAUACUGUUAAAAGAGAAAAUUGAAAUAGUAAUAAUAUAAUUAACUGGAGUUUAUAAUAUAAUAGUUGUUAAAGACCUUAAGAGUGAGCAAAUGAUAAUGUCUCACUCUCCUCAAUUGAAGUUGGACCAAUGAGACCUAAGAAACUUAGGUCUCAAUUUUGAUAAAGUCAGUCAAUGGUAGAUGGCACUAUGGUUAUUUGGCCAUACAUGUAAUAAUUGCAUAUGGAACUAAAAAGUAUUCUACUAUGUCCCCUCAUGCCAACACAGCAGUAAAAGCACUGAACCUAACAAAUGCUAUGAAGGUUGAUGUUGGGAAUCCUACAUUUUGGCAUGCUAUGCCCCUUCUACUUUUCCUUCAAGAACCAUUUCUCUUGUCUUUUUCUUGUACCUAUUAGACUAAUAAUAUGGACACCACCCUCAAGCUCAAGCAUAUUUUAUACAAUCUGUACAGAUAUUAAAUAAAGACUAAAUUAUAAGUUUUGAAAAAAGAAAUCCUAAAUUUUGUUCUUUUGGAAUAUUAUUAUGGAACGUUUAUAAGGUUCUAAAACCACUAGGGAUGAAAAACCAAUUGAGACUUUGGCGGUGACUUAAAAUAAUUGGCUUAAUUCGUAAUUUUGUUUUUAAUUAUUAUUGGCUUAGAUUAAUUAAAACGUAGUUUCUUUUCCUUUUCUUCUAAAAUUUUCUAACCCCCUCCAGAUGUAGUGUUUCAUCCAAUCAGUAAUUAAGCAUUUGGAUUCUUAAAAAUUACUCCAAGAAUAACUCAAGGGGAAAGAAAAGUUGAGAAAACAACUGCAUUCGUGUGAAUUAUGAGGUGAAAUAAAGCUGUCCUUGUUUGAUCUUUUUCUUUGCCUGCAUGAGAUUCCUAUAUAGUUUUUCUUUUCUUUUCUUUUUCACUUUAGCUACUUUUCCUGUAAUUUUGUGGAGGUGGUGUAACACAGUUUUAUAGGUUAUAGAGACAACAAAUGAUAUGCUCUUAAAGCAUAGUACUUUGGGUGGGUUGAAUGCACCCAGGAUCCUGGAUCAUAUUUUUUAAUAAUUAAACGAAUAAUUAAGAUCUUAUUUGAUAACCAUUUUAUUUUUGAAAAUUAACUCAUAAACACUACUUUCACCUUCAACUUCUUUUUAUUGUUAGCAACAUUCUAUCCGUAGUUUAAAAAACCAAGUCAAAUCUUGAAAAAUAAAAAAGUUGUUUUUGAAAAAUUGUUUUGAUUUUCGAAAUUUGUCUAACAAUUCAACCAUUUGUACUUCAGAAAAAUGUAUCAUGUUAAGUCAUAAGAAAGAGAUAGGUUUAAAUUUUUAAAACAAAAAAAUAUAUAGUUAACAAAUGAAGCAUAAAAUAUUUCAUAAAAGAAAAAAAAAAUUAUCACAUGAAUUUUUUUAACUGAAUAAUUUAGUAGAAAACACAAAGUUGAAAUGUUGGAAAUGGAUCUAGUACAUAUUUUUCAUUUUAAGAAACUCAAGUUCAAUGUUCAAUUACGAGCUGGUAUUAUUGUUAUUAUUAUUGAGAAAAUAUAUAUCCCAAGGGAUUAAAAUCCAAAGCUUGAUGUUAACCAUUCAAAAUUUCAAAUUUCAAAUGUUAACUAUAUAGUAAUGGUGGUAUAUUAUUGUGUUUUUUAAGUUUUAAAGUGAAUCUUUUGUACUCACGAACAUUGUAAAAAGAUGAAUAGUUUAAAUGGCUAUUAAUCAUCCCUGGUUGAGAGACUUGAGAGAACUUAAUCCAAGUUUUUUUAUAUAUAUUUAUAAAUUAAGUACAAUUAAAUAAUGUGUAGUUCUCAAUUUAUAUUUAAUAAUGUUAAGAAUUUUCAAUCGAGUAAUACUAUUAAAAGAUCAUUGUACAAAAAGUUAAUUAAUAGUUUUAUUAUGGAAUUUAAUGUUUGAUUAAACAUAUUUGUGUUUUGAUAUUAGAAAUUUCAACAACAAAAAUUAAGCUAAAUAUAAUAAAUCCUAAUCCCUAUGAUUUGUCCUUAUAAAGUAUUUAGAAAGAUAACGUUUAUUAGAUCAUAAAAGGACCAAAUUGACAGUUUAAUCAAAUUUUUAUCAGCUGAAAAUUUUAAAAUAUAAUUAUUGGGAACAGAAUGGAGAGCUGUAGACACUUAAAAUUUCAAUUGAGUUUUAGGGUUUAGAAAAAGAAAAUUAAAGUUAAAGUUAAAGAACUGAAAGGAACGUACCAUUUUCACGCUGUUUGGCUGCACGGUUGAUUCUGUUCAGAUGAUGCAAUCGACUGCAAGGCUUCUUCUCCUCAUCGCUACAGCUAAAGUCUCUACACUUCCGCACUGAAAUCCUUCCUACUUUAUCUCCAUUCACCCCGUUCCCCGCAAUUUCCAUCGACGGUAGAUGAUCAAUCUCCGGUGACCGAAACGCCAUGAUUAUCUUCUUCAGAGCCUUCAAAUCAUUAUCACAUUUCUCCAACGCUCCCAAAAGCUUCCUCCUCUUCUCUCUUGACGUUUCUUCCGCCGCCGGCACAGCUUCUAGUCCCAUCAAUCGUGCUACAAGUGCGGGAGAUUUUCCGAUCUUCGUCGGCGGGUUCACUGAACUCGAUCGCCUUAUCUCCACCGAAAGGGUCGGACUCCUCGUCGGCAAAUCGAAGGAGAUUCUUUUCCGACUGAAAUCAACAACCUCCGUUCCUUUUCCUUCUCUGUUUUUGUCACUUCGUGACCUUCGUUGUCUCUGUGGCGGUGGAGUAGCCGGGGAAAUACUGACGGCAGAAACUGAGGUAUGAUCGGAAUUUUGUGAAGUAGAAGAAAACACGAUAAUAUCCUUCUCUUGUUUACUCUUUCCUGAAAACAUCGAGAAAUUCAUUGUAGUCAACAUACGAAUUGUUGGAUCAAAAUGAAAGAAAUUAGAGAGUAAUUAGUAAUUGACGAACCGAAUGUGAGGGAUUUCUUGUGGCGGUUCUGGUACUUGGAGAGAAGAUGAAUAAUGCCGGACAUGCAACCGAUGCUUUUAGCUCGAAGACUCUCCGGUGGAGGAUCUCGGCGGGAAGUGGACGAUAACUGACUGUUCUGCCUCUUCAUUGAUUCCAAGACUCUCCCUCUCUAACAGCCUCCUUCUGUUUCUAUGAUGAAGCUCAACGGCAACGGAGAGAGAGUUUGUUAAAGCAACUGCCUCUCUCUCUCUCUCUAUAUAUAUAUAUCAUGAAUUCUUUAUUAUUUAUUUUCCAAUAAAGUUUUCUGUAUUUGUUUAUUGGAUUUCAAAUAUGGAAAUUUUUUGUCGUGAUAGCCACAUAUAAAAAUAUUAUUACCCUUUAUUGUAAAUAAAUUGGGAUAUUUGGUUAUAUUUGUAUAUAUUUUUAAGGGUUAUUGCACAUGUCACAAAAUUAGUUCGAUAAAUUUAGAUACAUAAAUAUGCAAAAUUACAAAUCCACCAUAUAGAAUUAUAAACAUUUUCACGGGUCGUCAUUUAAUAUGUUGUUGAUACACCUAUGUGUUUUUUAUACAUUUGUUAUGCUUUACUGAUACACUAUGAAUUAAAUAACAUCUUAUACACAUCAUUUGGUUUGAUACAUGACUUGAAGUGUUGUUGAAUACAUUAGUUAAACUUUGCAAGUACACUCAUUCAAUUAUAUAUACUUGAUGGACUAAGCAUAAUAUGUUGUAUUGUUGUGAUGUAAAUCAAAUAAACCUAAAUCUACUACUUUCCAGUUAUUUGUUAUAUUUAAAUCUCCUGCUUUCUAAUUUUUCUAUUACAUUUUAGUUCUUUUGUUAGUUAAGAUUUAUUAUUAAUAGGUUGUUUGUUACUAUCUAUUUUUUCUAUAAAUAGAAUACAACAUCUCACAUUCAAAGAUAUAUUCAUACAAAAUAAAAAAGACUUUUUGGUUUCACACCAAUUGGUAUCAGAGCACCAAAAGUUAGUUUUUGAUGCUCAAAAUCAAGAUGCAAAGGACAACCCCAUCCUCUCUCCAAGAUCUACCUCGACCCCAUCCUCUCUUCAAGAUCUACCUCGAGACACUUGCUGUUCGUGGAAGCUUCUGUGGAAAGAAUCGAAAAUACACUUCAAGAAGUCUUGCAAAGACUAGAGGCAUUGGUACCCCCUCAAGAUGUUCAUCAACAAGAUCAAGAACUUGUUCGUGACUGGGGGCAGUGUGGCAUCCGUGGUGCUAGAAUUCAUAGGGCUGAAAGAAAUCAUCAAGAAAGGAGAUAUGAUGCCCAAGAAUGAAGUAGGCCAUUUCAAAACUAUCAAAAUCUUUUUCUAAGAAACUAAGAAAUGUAUCAAGAAACUAAGAAAUGUAUCAAGAACCUCAAGAUUGGAGUUCCUUUGAUGAUGAGUUGCAAGAAAGGCCAUUUUUCAAUCUGAACAGAAGAUUUCGACCUCAGUUUGAUGAAAGAAGGAGAGAACCAACAGAAUACAAGAUGAAAGUUGAUCUUCCAAAGCUACGAUGGCAAACGUAAUAUUGAGAUUUUUCUUGAUUGGUUGAAGAAUACUGAAAUUCUUUCAGUUAUAUGAAUACUCCAGAGGUAAAGAAAGUCCAUUUAGUAGCAUUAAAACUGAAGGUUUGAGCAUCGGCUUGGUGGGAACAACUUGAGGUUAAUGGGCAAAAAAAUGGGAACAAACCUAUUGCCUCAUGGGAGAAAAUGAAAAAAUAAUGAAGACACGUUUCCUUCCUUCCAAUUAUGAGCAAACUCUUUACAAUCAGUACCAUAAUUGCUGGCAAGGAGCAAGAAUAGUUGCUGAUUAUAUAGAGGAAUUUCACCAGUUGGGCGCAAGAACCAAUCUAAUGGAGAAUGAGCAGCACCUUAUUCAGUUGGGCGCAAGAACCAAUCUAAUGGAGAAUGAGCAGCACCUUAUUGCACGGUUUGUACGAGGAUUAAGGUUUGACAUCAAAGAAAAGGUAAAAUUACAACCUUUUUUAAAUCUUGCUGAUGUUAUUACCUAUACAGAAUCCGUUGAAGAAAUUAUUGAAUUGAAUUUGAAGAAAAAUACAAGAAGGGGACCAUGGAACAUUACUUCCAAAUAAGUUGCAAAUCAAUCCUCUAUGACUUGUUAUAACAAAGAUCAAGAGAAGGAUAAAACUAAUGAGACAAAUGGAAAGAAGCAAGCAGAAAAUGCCUAUCAAAGAUCGAAUUUAAGCAAGUGUUUCCACAGUGGUCAAACUGGUCAUCUCUCAAAUGCUUUCCCUAAAAGAAAGACGGUGGCUAUUCUUGAAGAAGAUGAAGAUUAUGUUGAAGAACAAGAAGAGGAUCUCUCUCAAGAAGAAGUAUUAGAACCCGAUGAUGGAGAGAGACUAUCGUGUGCGCUGCAAAGAGUCUUAAUUACUCCAAAAAGUGACACCUCUGACCAGCAAAGGCAUAGCCUUUUCAAGACCCAAUGUAUUAUCCAAGGCAAAGUGUGCAGCAUGAUAUCAUUAACAGCAGCAACAGUAAAAAUUUUGUCUCCAAGAAGCUUGUGGCUGCACUUAAGAUGAAAAUGAAGCCUCAUUCAAGUCCUUACAAGAUUCGGUGGAUCAAGAAAGGUGGUGAUGCCCAAAUAAAUGAGGUUUGUUCAGUCCCUUUAUCAAUUAGAGGGACCUAUAAGGAUCUGAUUGUGUGUGACGUCUUGGAUAUGGAUGUUUGCCAUAUUUUUGGAAGACCAUGACAAUACGAUAUUCAAGCUAUUCAUAAGGGGAGAGAGAACACCUAUGAGUUUCAAUGGAUGAACAAGAAGAUUGUGUUGAUGCCCCUAAGCAGGAAGAAUGAGGAAGUAGUCAAUCAAAAGAAGGCUAAAAGUCAUCUUUUCAUCCCUGUAAGUGGAAAGAAAUUUCUAGAAACCAGAGAAUCUGAUAUUUUGGGACUUGUUAUUGCAGGCCCUCAUACUACAGAAAUUUCCAGCUUGAUUCCAGCAAAGGUGCAAGACCUAUUGAGCCAAUUUCAACCUAUAAUGGAGGAGCCUUCUAAAUUGCCUUCCCUUUAGACAUCCAACACGUUAGUGAUUUGAUACCUGGCUCAUCUCUUCCCAACCUUGCUCAUUACAGAAUGAAUCCUAAGGAGUAUGAGUUCUUACACCAGCACAUUGAAGAUUUGUUGACAAAAGGGCAUAUUCAGACAGCACCAACCCUUGUGUCGUACCAGCUCUAUUAACUCCAAAGGAUGGCAGCUGGAGGAUGUGUGUAGGUAGUCGAGCCAUCGACAAAAUUAUGGUCAAGUAUCGUUUUCCUAUUCCAAGAAUUAAUGAUCUCCUUGAUCAAUUUGGAUGAGCUCUUAUUUUUUCAAAGGUAGACCUAAGAAGCGGAUAUCAUCAAAUUAAAAUAAGGUCGGAAGAUGAGUGGAAGAAGACCUUCAAGACUAAUGAGGGGUUAUUCGAAUGGUUAGUGAUGUCUUUUGACUUAUCAAAUGCCCCAAGUACCUUUAUGCGGUUGAUGCACCAAAUGCUACAUUUAUUCUUAAACAAAUUCAUAGUAGUCUACUUUGAUGAUAUCAUAAUCUAUAGCAAGAAUGACCAAGAUCAUAUGCAGCAUCUGAAGUUAGUUUUUGAAGCCCUUCAAAAGAGUAAGUUGUUCAUUAAUUUGAAGAAAUGUAUUUUUUGCACGGAAGAAAUAUCUUUCUUAGGUUUUAUUAUAUCUGAAAAUCAAGUGAAGAUGGAUGAAAACAAGGUGGAAGCUGUAACUAAUUGGUUGAUUCCUAAAUCAUAAAGGAGAUUCAAGCUUUUAUGGGGUUAGCAUAUUUUUACAGGAAGUUUAUUAAGAACUUUAGUUCUAUAACAGCUCCUAUGACUGAUUGUUUGAAGAAGGGAGCCUUUUAUUGGGGAGAAAAACAGCAGCACAAUUUUGACUCCCUUAAAAGAAAGUUUGCCAGCCAACUAAUCCUCAAUUUACCAGAGUUUGACAACCCUUUCGAAGUGGCAAUAGACGCCAGUGGUGUGGAAAUUGGUGUUGUCCUUUCCCAAGGAGGUCAUCUGGUAGAAUUCUUUAGUGAAAAAUUGAGUCAUUCUAGACAAAACUGGAGAACAUAUGAGCAUAAACUUUAUUCACUUGUUAGGGCCUUAAAACAGUGGGAGCACUACUUAUUAUCUAAGGAUUUUGUUUUGCUCACUGAUCAUUUCUCCUUGAAGCAUCUCCAGGCACAAAAAAACAUUAACAAAAUGCAUGCUAGAUGGGUAUCUUAUAUCCAAAGAUUUUAUUUCUUAAUCAAGCAUCAAGCGAGCAAAGAAAACAGAGUUGUAGAUGCCUUAAGCAUAAAAGAGACUCUCCUCAUUGUGCUCUCAACUGAAAUUACAACCUUUAACCAUCUUCCAACACUAUAUGAGACUGAUGAAGACUUUGGUGAGACUUGGAGUCAUUGUACUCAUUUCCAUGAUCGAGAUUAUCAUUUGGUGGAAGGUUUUCUCUUUAAAGGAGACCAACUAUGCAUUCCACAUACUUCCUUAAGGGAAGCCCUAAUAAAAGAUGCUCAUUCGGGAAGCCUAGCUGGACACUUUGGCCAAGGAAAGACUUUUCAAAUUAUCAUCAAGAGGUUUUAUUGGCCUCAGGCUAGAAGAGACAUUAAUAACUUUGUGAAAAAAUGUCCUAUUUUUCAAAGAGCAAAAGGAUCUUCAUCUAAUGUUGGUCUCUACACUCCUCUACCGAUUCCUAAAAACGUAUGGGAGGAUUUGUCAAUUGAUUUCGUAGUGGGUCUACCUAAGAUUCAAAGGGGAUUUAACUCAGUUAUGGUUGUGGUGGACAGAUUCAGCAAGAUGUCUCACUUCUUCCCUUGUAAAAAAAUCACAGACACAGUGCACAUUGCCACUCUCUUCUUUAGGGAGAUUGUUAGACUACACAUGGCAUCCCAAAAACAAUAGUUUCGGACCAAGAUACUAAAUUUCUUAGCCAUUUUUGGAAGACAUUGUGGAAGAAGUUUGACACCACCUUGAAGUUUAGUACCACUGCUCAUCCACAAAUGGAUGGACAAACUGAGGUAACUAACCGGUCCUUGGAAAAUUUAAUUCGCUACCUUAGUGGAAACCAUCCUAGACAAUGGGACAUAGUUCUCUCAUAGGCAGAAUUUUCUUUAACAAAAUGAUGAAUAGAACCACGAGCAAAUGCCCCUUUGAGAUCGUGUACACCAAGGCACCAAGGUUGACAUUCGACCUAACUAGCCUUCCUAAGGAAAUGGAAAUCCAAGAGGAAGCUGAACAGUUAGCUGAAAGAAUACAGAAACUUCACACAGAAGUCAUUGACCAUAUCACUAAAACUAUUGAGUCUUACAAAGAAGAGAAGAAUAAGAAGCGAAAGGAAGUACAUUUCCAAGUUGGAGAUCUUGUAAUGGCACAUUUGAAGAAGAAGAGGUUCCCCAUUGGAACCUAUGGAAAGAUAAAGGACAAGCAUAUUGACCUAUGUAGAAUACUUGCUAAAUAUGAGCCAAAUGCUUAAAAAAUUGAACUACCGCACAGAUUUAACAUCAGCCCAAUCUUCAAUGUAGCAGACCUUAGAAGCUACUAUGCACCAGAUGAAUUUCAGCUUUCAUAGCAAACUCGGGGCAAGUUUGAUGUUCGGGGAGUAGAAUGGUGUAAAUCAAAUAAGCCUAAAUCUACUCAAUGAUCUAUGCUUUCUAGUUUUCUAUUAUAUUUAAAUCUACUACUUUCUAAUUUUUAUAUUUUAAUUUUAAGAUUUAUUAUUAAUAGAUUGUUAGUUACUAUCUAUUUUUCCUACAAAUAAAGUACAUCCUCUCACAUUGAGAGUAGGAUAUUCAUACAAAAUAUAAAAAAAAAAACUCUUUGGUUUCACACCAUGUUGAUACACUUGUUAUCAUUUGCUUAUACACUUAUUGUGUUUUGUUCAUACACUUGGUGGAUUUAAUGCACUCAAUAAGUUUGAUACACUUAAUACACUAGUGAUAAACAUUCUAUACUUCAUCAAUACACUCAACAAAUUGCCAACAUAAGUUUAGCUCAAUUGGCAUUUGUAUGUUCCUGUAAUUUGAUGUCUUGGAUGUAUUUUGGUACAAUAUUUUGGUACAAUCCCUACCCCAGCAUUUAUUACAAUAGCUUUGCAAAAAAAAAAAAAUACACUCAACAAAUUUAAUACACUUUAUACAAUUCAUAUACACUCAACAAAUUUAAUACACUUUAUACAAUUCAUAUAAUUUGAUACCUUGGAUGUAUUUUGGUACAAUUUUCUGUACAUGUUCAUAAUAUUUUAAAACCGUUUUCAAAUGUAUUGUGUGUUGAUCUAAUAGUCUUGUACAGUUGUCCAACAACAGUUUCAUAAAUAUAUAUAUGAUCAACAAUAUUCAUCAAAUAUAGUUUCAAAGCUCUAUGUAUUGUGUGCUGAUCUAAUAGUCUUAUAUAGUUGUCCAGCAAAUUUAAUACACUUUAUACAAUUCAUAUAAUUUGAUGCCUUGGAUGUAUUUUGGUACAAUUUUCUGUACAUGUUCAUAAUAUUUUAAAACCGUUUUCAAAUGUAUUGUGUGUUGAUCUAAUAGUCUUGUACAGUUGUCCAGCAACAGUUUCAUAAAUAUAUAUAUGAUCAACAAUAUUCAUCAAAUAUAGUUUCAAAGCUCUAUGUAUUGUGUGCUGAUCUAAUAGUCUUAUAUAGUUGUCCAGCAACAGUUUCAUAAGUAUAUAUAUGAUCAACAAUAUUCAUCAAAUAUAGUUUCAAAGCUUUAUACAAUCAAUUCCAAGACUUUACAUAGAUAUGAAUAUUCCAUUAGAUUGCCAUGAAUCUAACUCAACUUAAAAAGUCAGAAAACAGACUAGCUAUAAUAAAUCUAAUCAAAAGUAUACCAAUCAACCCCUCCCCCCUUCCUCCAUAUGAACAAUUCAAAAGAAUUAUCAAAUUAUUGGUCACAAUCAUAUGUACGAACCCAGGAAGUGAGCUAACUCAACCGCAAAAUAAAUUAAAUGAUUUAACUCACACUAUACAAAUAAACCAAUUAACUCACAAAAGAAAUAGUUUGAUAUAUAACAUACUGCAUCAGAUAUGACUACUUCCCCUCGUCACAAUUUCUCUCAUAUACCUACAGUAGAUCGAUCGGAUAUUGGUUCAUGACCUAAUAAAAACACAAUAGUUUUUAAGAGUUUGUACGAGUUUGAUAUCAAACUAAGGCAACAAAUAUAACCUUUCUAGAUGCAAAAAACUUUAAAUACAACACAUGAUAUCUUUUAAAAGAGCUAAAGGUAAUUCACAUCAUAAAGUAACCUUGUUUAUUUGCUUCUCAGUCUAGCUCAAAGUAUUUGUAUGAGUUUGCUAUCAAACCAAGGCAACAAAUAUAACCGUUCUAAAUGCAAGAACUUUAAAUACAACACAUAAUACUUUUAAAAAAAACUAAAGGCAAUUCACAUCAUAAAGUAACCUAUAGUUUAGUUGAGAAAAUGACUUUACCUAGAGAUCAGCUACGUAGCACAUAUCCAAAGGAAUUUUCCUAUCUUAUUUGCAUUGUUCUAACCUAUUAGGUUAUAGUCGUGCAAGUUUCCUUGUAUGUUUUCUUGAUGUGUUAGAUAAACAAAGGACACCCAAGAGCACACAAGAGAUCAAAUUUCACAAAUGAGAAAAUGUGAGAGAUUAAUUUUACUACUUCUAAAUGACAAAAAAGUCAGAAAUCACAUGAAAGAACCAAAAGGUCAACCAGCUCAACUUGCACCCCGUCCAACUCGAUCGAUAAGUAUGAUCUUCGUGUGUCAAUCUAUAUACCAAUAAACAUGCAAAAUAAAUGAAUUAACUUAUAAUCCAAAAAGAUCAAUUAACUCAAGUCUCAACGAAUUAAAUGAUUCAUACCUUUUAUGGGUUAUACCAUUACAAAUCCUUUAAAAGAGAUACUUCAAGAGUUUUAUGGGUUAUAUAUGAGAAAAAAAGAGAAAAAAAAAAAGAAAAAAAAACAGAAACAAAAGGAAGAAAGGUAGAUAAAAUUGACCUUGAGUAGUAGUUGAUGGACCGGUAAACUUAGGCCAAGAACAUGUGUAUUAGCUAGGCAAAGAAAGUUAACUAAUAAUAAAAUAAGAAAAACAAAGCACGCAGUCAAUUAUAACGUUUUCAUACAACAUUUAACUAAUAAUAAUUCACUCUUAUGUUUGUUCAUACUCAAGUCAAUAUCACAUUUAAUUAAGCAAAAGAAGUACCUAAAAUUGCUCUACCCAUCAAACUAUAUUUAGCUUUAUCAACCUCUUCCCUUGUCUUUCACCCUCAUCAUUAAAAUGUGUUAUGUGAUAAUUUAAAAGUAAAUUGACUAAUUAAUUAACUAUCAAUGUAUUAAGAUUAUAUAUAAUUAUUAUAACUACACGAUAAUCAUAACACUUCAACACUUGAUCUAAUAAUCCAAGCCUUUAAAACUAGAGUUUAAGAAAGAAUGUAUUACCUUCCACUAUAUAAAAUAUUGUAAUAAAGCACAUCGAAGAUUUGUAUUUAGGAGUAGUUAAUCAAAUUCACAAAAAUAAAAAAAUAAAAUAUCUAAACUUAAUCUAAUACAUGAAAAUAGGAACUGAAUAUCAAAAGAAAACAAAUCUACAAUUUAUUACAUGGUAGACAGAUUUUUAAACUAAACCCAUUCAAUUUCUAAAUAUAGUCAAAACAACUGGUUUUAUAGAGAAAUAGUAGAAAAAUCAAGCAACAAUAAAAGGAGACUGAUGAUGACUUGGCUCUACAAGCUGACGUCCAAAUGGAAAUAUUUCCAUCAAAACUUUUCAAACUUAAACCAAAUCCAAACUUUUGCUCGACCAUAGCUUUCUCCCUCUUUUCAUUUUCAAAGUUUAUUUCUAACAUUUUUGCAAAAUUUUGAUCAAAUAAUGUGAAGUAGCACCCUAAAUUCCACAACCCGUGUUUUGGAUAAAUGCCCGAUAUCACAUAUGAUGAAAUUGUUUUAUACAAUGUAAUCUAAAAUAGUCAUAGCAUUUAGUCAACUUAUACCUCAACGCUUGUGGUGUAAAGACUGCCAACAAAUUAAACUUCUCCAUCUUACUCUUCUUGCCCUUGAUAACAAGAACCGUCAGGUAUUCUUCAUAUAUCUGUAUAUACAAUUCCAAUAUCUCAAGAACUUGAAACAAAAGUAACCUUUAAAUAUAUUUACCAAAUUUCACAAGAGAUCAAAUUUCACAAUUUGAAUUAGUUCUGAAUCUAAAGCAACUGAAGAAAAACAGGAUUGAUGAGGGCUUGAAGGAGGAAAAACAAAGAGGGGAAGUAGGGUUAUACCUUGAAGGACAAUCUUGCAACAUAGCCAAGGCAUUGAGCCUCUUUGUAGAAGAAAUCGAGUGCUCCUACUCUACUCAUUGAGAGAGGAAAAUUACAUUUUUAUAAAGGGAUUCAACAGGAUGAGAUCUGACAAGAUCGCUUUUCACGCCUUGAAGUCCUAAUCGACAGACGAAGAGUGAGAUUUUCGGAGUGCUGGCUUGCCACAGCUGGGCGUUAGAGCAUAAGACCAAAGAAGGGAAAAAUCGUUGGAGGCGAUCUGUUCUUGCAAUGGUGGAUUUGUGGGUCGUCGUCAGUUGUAGAAGGGAGAACCACUGGGAACUCGUAUUCGUCAUCGUGGUCGAUGUUCGCUGUCAGUCAUGGAGCUUCAUCAUUAAAGGAGAAAUUGUAAUGGUCAUCGGAAGUGUUAGGGACAGCGGAUUAGAGGCUACGUUUUCAAAGGACGGAAGUGAAGGGAUUUCGAAUGGAAGGAUUUCGUUUUUGAAGGAUACUGCUGAAGCGUCUUAGGGCCUUUUAGAAAACCAAUAUUCCAUGCGUUUUC
RNAcentral lists this long non-coding RNA (61574 nucleotides) under Cucumis sativus (cucumber). RNAcentral's name for it is "long non-coding RNA (CSAT_LNC001630)". The record is from RNAcentral. Lineage: Eukaryota; Viridiplantae; Streptophyta; Magnoliopsida; Cucurbitales; Cucurbitaceae.